RNAcentral lists this long non-coding RNA (71393 nucleotides) under Gossypium barbadense (sea-island cotton). RNAcentral's name for it is "long non-coding RNA (GBAR_LNC007619)". The record is from RNAcentral. Lineage: Eukaryota; Viridiplantae; Streptophyta; Magnoliopsida; Malvales; Malvaceae.
UCAACUUCAGGACUCUCUCUCCCUUCACUACCAUACCUCCCCAUCUCACACCUUAACUCCUCAACUCGCACACAUUUACGAGUUAAUUUUGUAGCAGCAUGGCUGGUUCAAGUGCCAUGCUUGUGCAGCUCACUCUGAUGAUUGCUUUACUCUCAUGUUCAAUGGCUCAAAGUCCAUCGGCAUCACCUACAAUGUCACCAAGUUCAAGCACCACCCCCUCUCCCGUUGCCACUCCACCACCAACCACCAUGACCCCUCCCCCAGCCAUGACUCCAAUGUCAGCACCCGCACCGUCAACCCCUAUGGCUCCUACCCCUUCAACCACUCCAAUGGCCCCAACCCCAUCCUCUGCCCCAGAGGCACCAACCCCACCGGCACCCGCACCUCCAUCUAUGACGCCUAAUUCAGCACCUACAACUCCUCCUUCAGCCAUGACCCCUAGGGAGGGCCCACAAGCUCCUCCUUCAGCCAUGACCCCUGGGGAGGGCCCACCAGGUUCCGCUGCUUCUACACGUGAAUACACCAUGUCCUUGUUAGCAUUGCUUGGAGGAGUUGCACUCUUUGUUUAGGACACUUCUUUUUUUGGUUUCGUUUACUUUGAUGUAGAUUAAGCUAUUUAUUUGUGUAUUCUUUUUUCAUUGUUCCAUUUUCUCUCUCUUCUCGUCUAUUCUUGGAGCUGAUGCUUUCGUGAUUUGUGAGGGCUCUUUUGUAUCAUUUUUACUUAGCUUAAUAAAGAGAGACUUUGUGAUUCUUGUUUGUGUUACUGUAAUCUUUAGUCCAAUUAUUUUCUUCUUUUUUUGACUUCUUUAGAAUUAAAUCAUGUUAGACUAAUUAUUUUGCUGAAAAAAAUGGAGAAAAUAAUACUAGAAAAUAGUGGAAAAAAGGCUGGUUACUUUUAAGGCCAUUCCUUACUCUGAUAUUAACACACACGCACAAAAAAGCUUAGAACUGGGAUUAUUAGUCCUAAUGGACUAUGGUUUUAUUAUUAAUAAAUAAGACAUUGGUUCACAAACUUUCAAUUAGUCUAAUCAAUAUGGAAGUACUUAAAUUGAAUUAUAAGAAUUUAAUCCUCUAAAUAUGAAAAAACAACUUAAAAAAAUAUAUAUAUAUAUACUCAAUGUUGGACAUAUACAUGUAUACCCAACACUACCGGAGUCCGAUCAACAUGGCUAAAAGUAAGAUGAGUGUGGUUGGUUGAAGGGUGGAUAGAAAGAUGGAAUAGGCGCAAGUAAUUGGUGGUGGUGAAUGGGUGAUGCCGAUAAAUAUUGUCAGAGAAAAAGUUAGGUGCUAGCUGUUAUAGACUUUGGGUGGAUGAUGGAAGAGUAAUUAACUUUUGGGGAUAAAAAGGAGAGUUGCCAUUGCCUUUGGGUUCUCUUUUCGACGGAGACCGGAUAAUAUUAAACAUGAUUUAAAGAAAGAAAAAGAAAAAUUAACAUGUAUGCAUGGAUUCCUCAAAAGCUAUAUACAGAUUAUUAUUAAUGAAUCAAAUUUUAUAUAAAUAUAAAACACUUCAAAUAUGAUGAUUAUAUGACAGUACAUGAAGGAUAUUGGAUGCAUGAGUUGGUAGGUCUAAAGGGCGAUGACUUGGGAUAGAAUGGGAGGGAUGUAUGAUUGGCUGUUGUGGGCCUAAAACUCAAAAGACAAAACAAUUGCUAGCAUGAAAGGGAUGUGCACAUGGGGUGCUUGCCUUGCCCUCACCGACAAAUACAUAUUCUUAUAGUCUUAUAACCUAUGUAAACUUCAGAUUAAUUGGAAUUAACUAUCAUGAUAACAGCAUUGGAUACCUAUUAAAGAUGUAACUGUAACAUGUAAUAAAGAAGCAUUGCACUAAAAACAUCUUUAUCUUAUCCUCCUUUUCUUGAUGAAUAGAGAACACGAUCUGUUCCAGUUAAAUCUAGACAGACUCGGUCUGGGUUCUUUCCCGUGAGUCCACAUGUUUAUUGGAACCAUUAUCCCUCUUCACUUGCUAAGAAUACAAAAAUUCACGGACUUGCCAGAAUCAUGAAAAAGAAGCAGCACUCAUUCUUCCGUGGUCUUUGCCUCUUCGGGGAAUCCUGUUUGAGGAAAACAAGAUCAUUUACGAAUAAUUUAACUAAGAAUAGAAGGUUGUAUGAAUUGUGUUGAAACCAUUUUUAUUUUAGAAAAACGGGGAUCGACUUUAAAAAAGAGGUACAGAGUUGGACCCGACCUUUUUUGAGGUGUAAUAGGAUCACCUUAACGUUGAUCAUUUUAAUAAAAUAUUUGAUUUAUUAAAAUAAUAAUUUUAGGUCUACAAAAAUUGAGAAAAAGGGUUCGGGAGUCGGUUAUGCACGAGGAAGGGUUAGCACCCCGUAACGCUCAAAAUUAGUACAAAUUGAUUAUUGAAUGUCCUAUCGUUGAAAAUUUAGGAAAAAAAAUUAAAAUACGAUUCCUUUAAAAAUGUAGGAACAAUUCGAAUUAAAUUUUAAGGUUCACUUGCUCUAAAGAAAUAAUACCACAUCGAGCACGUUAGGACACGAUACUUUAAGCCUCCAAAGACUGAGAUCACCUCAUUAUUUCCAAAACACACAACGAAUUCUUAAAAGGUUACUCCGUUAUUUGGCAAAACUAAAAAAAAAACCCAACACGUUAGGGCACGUUUUCCCGAAUUUCUCAAAUACGAAACAUUGCCUUGUUUUGAAGAGUUUCCCAAAUAAGCAAUUAUGAAAUCGGCUCAAAAUAUUCGUUUGGGUUAUUUUAGGGUGAAAAGCAAUCGAUGUUGGGCAAAAAUGCGGGAUUUUAAAAAAAAUCAUGAUACAAUAAUAAGAAACUAAAACAUAAUUAUAAGCAUAAAACAAUAAUAGGUGGAUACAAAUUGAAAACAAAAAAUAACACAUACACCGGACUACAUGAAAACUAGGAACCAAUAUAACGCAAAACAAAAACCAUAUGAACAAUAUACAAAGGGAUAGCAUAUAUUAGAAUUCAAAAUAGCUUAUAUGUAUAAAAAACGGAUAAUAUAUAAAUGAUUAUUAAAGUAUAUAUUAAAAUGAAUAAUAUGCAACAUAAUUUCAAAUGAAACAAAUUGACUUAACAAAUGACAUACAUAUUUAUAUGAAAAUAAUAAAUGAAAACAAUGUAUAUACAAAGAUACCAAAGUAAUUAAAAUAAAUAAAAUAUGCAAUUUAAAACAAGACCCUCAAAAGAAAGCCAAAUUCUAUAUGAAUAAUUUUAAAGAAAAUAUAUAUAUAAUAAAUUUAGAAGAAAAUAUUUACAUAAAAGGAAGUCAAUAAUGUACACUUAGAGUAAAAAUAACUUUGUAUAAGUUACGUAUAUACAUGAAAUAAAGAAAACUUAAUAUAAGUAAAGUAUAUAAAUACAAAAUAAUAUAUGAAAGUAUUUUUGAAAAAAAAAAAUAUGCACAUGAAAAAAAAUUCUUAUUUUGUUAAAAUAAUAUAUACAAAAAUAUAUACAUCAAUUUUGUUUAACAAAACUAUAUGUUAAAAUAAUAUAUUCUUAUUUUGUAGAAAAAAUGAAUAAAAAACUUAAUUGGAAGAAAAACAAAAUUAAAGGGACAAUUUAUGAACAAAGCAAACCAUUUAAACAGAAUUUUGGGCCAAAGUAAAACGCGCUCCAACGUUUGGGGUCUAAAAAUGAAAAUUAACCAAACCCCAAAACAAAUCGUUUAAGCGAGGACUAAGAUGAACACUCGUGCAAAUUCCUGGGACACUUUAAAAGAUUAAAAGAAACCAUGGAAAUGGCCCUAUCGAACGCUACUGCAAAAGGGAAGGAUUGGCCGCGAAAUUACCCAUUUAAGGUAAAAUGCGUGGACCCUACCUGGCAAAUGGGUCAACACGCUUCCCCCCCCCCCCCAGCCCACAACCCACGCUCCCCAGACGAAUGGCCAAGCUUCAACUGCCCCAAAAUCCGACUAUUGCGAGCGGAGUCAAGCCCUCCGACGACGUGAGCGUGAUGCAACUCUGGUGAGUCUCCCCCUUUCUCUUAUAUCUUAGUAUAUCCGAUGAAAAUGAAAAGAAAAAAAAAACGAAAUCAAAUAGCAAUAACCACCUUUGAAUCUCUCUUGGCUGCUUUUUUUUUAUGUGUAUUUGAUUUUUGAUUUGUAACCAAAAAGAAAUCGUGUCCUAUUUCUCUGAACAAAAAAAAGGAACCCCCCCCCCCCCAAUUUCAAUUAAAAAUCGAAGGCUUUAUAGCCAAAUACAAACGGUUCCUUGCUAUUCUCCAUUUUGCAGGUACGUGGAGACGUGAAGAGGGCGUUCACGGGCGUGUAAACGUGAAAUAUGGGAGGUGGAAGCGUGGGCUGAAGCAAUGGCGCACGUAGAGGCUAGCACGAAGGCAGCAGCAGCGCAAGGGGGAAAGGGAAAAGGCUCUGAAAACUCCAAAAACCUGGGCCUACUGGGCUUGGUUCAUUUCAUUCAGUAUUAGGCCAUUGUAAAACUUUUUUGGGCGUAUUUAAUUUGGGUUUAAUGCAAUAGGUUUGUAUUUUGGGCCGGGCAAAAUAUGAGUUUUACAAAUUGGAUAUAUAUAUUCAUCAGUUUGCACUGUUUCUUGAAAGAAACAGGAAUUUUUCUGAACAUCUAUAUAAAAAAAAUAAAACUUGCAAUUUAGAUAAAAAUAAUCAAACCAAUAAUGGAGUUUUCAUGGAAGUUAUAACAAAGAAUUGCAUCAAGGGGAAAAAAAAGGAUGUCAUUGAAAGAUUACAAUCUACAAAAAUGAGUGAAUUCCUCUGGAUGUUAGUUUAAGUAGCUCUAUCAUCUGUUUGGUAAAAUCAUGUCUAUUGUUUAAUCAGCUCGUUAAGUUGGUCAUCGACGGAUUUGAUUUACUUUGGUAUCCUUCUCCUUUGACUCACACGUCAUGAUGGUUAACACCACUUCUGCAUUAUCAGGUUGGCGUUGCCAGAACUUAAAAUCCUGUUCCAGUCGGAAAUGUUAUCGAAUAAGAACUUUGGUAUAACACUAGUAUGGUUUUUGGUUUACUUAUCAUACUUUGUCAUCAUCUAUUUCUCCUUUGUUUCCUUCGGCAAUAGAAGCAUUCCGAACAUGGAGAUUUAAUUUUACUAGAAUAACUAGCUUGGAGCUUGCUUGGGGGUAUUUUCAGGUCUUCCAUGAGUAUCUGACGAAGCUUCAGAUUCUCCUCCAUAAGCUCCUCGAUGAUUCGUUGAUGUUUCAGCACCUAAAUGGAAAUAUAAGUUUCAGUAAAAAUGUAACGCAAUCCUAAUAAAAUGAGAAGAAUUAAAUGUAUCUCGAGAACCUUGCAGCAUUCAUCAUGAAUAAAUCUUUUUGACACAAAUUUUAAAUAUGGCAACCAAUAAACUCCGAUAUUCAGAAAAUUUUACAUCUAAUUACAAUUGCUUUCGGCUAAUAUUUAUGUCUUCUCCCACUAAAUAAUCAAUAAUCAUCUCAGCGAAAACACCAGCAAACAAAAUGGCAUCAGAUUGGGGUGAUAAAAUAAAUAAGGAGCAUUACCAGUUGAAGUAAGUUGUUUUCAAAGCGCAACCGUCCAGCCUACAAAACAACCAAACCCAAGUGAAUUAUUUCUGCUGCUUACUGCUAUCACCAGUGACCAAAAUAAGAGCAAAAAAAUAACUGCUUGUUGCACGUUAAAGCAUGUUCCUUUUGAAAUCUUAACAUCCCCAACUACUGUUCCAAUUGCUGGAGUGAAAUGAUGUUUCUCUCCCGUUAAGUGUAUAAAAUGAACUGAUCUCACCUCAAGCCUUAUGUUGCACAAAUUUAGCCUACAGGCACCAUAAUAUUUUAUAAAAUUGACAUUCCACAUGCAAACUCAAUGCUGGAAUGCCGAUAAGAGAUAGAAAAACUCUCAAGCAAUGAAUUACAAAGCCAAAUGCACAAGCAUAUAGGUAUCAUUGCAUACCAGUUCACUUAGGCUAGUCUCAUCUUCCUUCAACAAUGGAUUUUGCAAAAAGCUAUUAAGAACUUUUUCUGUUCGAGUCCCAAAUGAUGUUUCAUUUGGAGGUUCUGAUGAAAAUUUUUGAUAAGCUGAACCUCUGCUUGUAUUUCCAGGUCCAGGCAAGCCUUGAGAUGUAGUAUCUGGUAGAUUUGGCAGCACCUGCUUCAAUUUUCCUUGCGGGCCUUGAAUAGAGGGUUCAUUUGUUGUGGUCAAAGCACUUUGAAAGGAUGCAGGAAAAGCACCUUCAUUGAAGGGCAAGUUGGAAGAUAUUCCAAACUUGUUCAUCAAUUUAGUCAUCGUUUGCUAGAAGUUUCAGAUAAAAACUUAGUUACAAAUAAUGCAAAAAGAAGAAGAGGAAAUAUAGAUAUUAUAUAAGAAAUUAUACGUACCAUAACACAACAUUGAAUUUGAUUCACCACCCCAGGCUUCACAGCAAGUCCUGCAAUACAAACAUUUUUUUUUUCAGUCAAAAAAGAUGUAAUUUAUUUUCAUUCAUAUGCUAGACAGAUAAUUAAUAUACAAGAUUAUUUGUACUGUGAGUUUGCAACAGGAAGAUAAAGAUAUCAAUGUCCGUUAAGGCAUAAAGAUAAAAGUACAGCAUAUUUUGACAAUGAUGCCCCUUAUGCAGAUGCUUUAAAUUCAAAAGAAGAUGAAAGACCAAACGAAUUUUCAUGUUGCUACAAAAGACAUGUCUGAGGUUGCUAAAAUCCCCACCACAAUCGGCUAUUUUGCAACAAUCAUAUGAGCAAGUAACGAAACUAAACGACCUGAUCUUGAAAUUUAUCUGAAUCACAUGCUGAUGACACUAACACAUUUGUACAAAGUAUAAAAUGUAGUAACCAACAAGGAAAUCAAGAGAAACUAAUCAGUAGUUUCUCUAAUCUUGAAACAUUUAGGCACACAUAUUGGUAUGCAAUACUUAAUUGAGUAGUCGGACUCAGACUUUGCAAUAAAUGUAUGCGACACCAUACCUAAUACAAGUGCCUCAAUACAGUAAUACUUAUUGAGUUAAUUAUUUUCAAUAUUAUAGCAUACCAAUGCCAAAACCAUGGCCAAGACCGACUCCACAUCCGAUCCCUGCUUCAACGUUCUUAGCACCCAACUUCCUUAACUAAAAACAUGAGAAAGACUAGAUCAGCAGAUAGUGAAAUAUCAAACAAACAAAAUCAACAACAAAAAGAAAAAAACUGAAAAAUGAGUCUGGAAGUUAUAUAUUCGACUUACAGCACCAUUUACAUGUCUGCUAACACCAGAAAACGCAUCAGUUGCUCCUCUAGUUGCACUCAUAACUUCGCCCAGCAUAGGUAUUCGACCUGGUAUAUACCACAAGCAUAAAAUCAUAAUCAGAAACACCAGCCAAACUUAUAUCAGCUAACAAUAACAUAGUGCACUUCAUCAUAGAAGAUGAUCAUCAAUCAUAAAGGUUUUUCCCUACUCCAUUCAUUUCUCGUUCCAAACACUAGCCAUUACCCAAUUUGUUCAACACAACAAAUGAAGAGGAAGUGAUAGAAAAACUGAUAAUACAGAGUUUCUUAUGAAGCAAAUUGGGAUAAACACAAUCAUUCUUGGGACUAAACGAACCACCCCAGUGCAUCCUCACAAUUCAAGGAUUUAGAUUUUUUUUUUUUUUGCAUAAAAAAUGUACUAGAAAAGAAAUGAAUGAGCAGUACCGAGGUUUUUAGGUCGACCCACGCCUAUACCAAUACCGCAACCAACGCCAAAGCCAGUAAAUACUUGACCCACUUUCAAAACAAAUGGAUUCUCCAAUCUGAUUCCUUCAAAGCCCUUUCUUUGAUUGGUUGCUACCACCAUUUUAGUGUCACUGUUUUUGAUAUUACUUUCCAUUACUAAUCUUUAGAAACUCUCUCUUUCUCUUCUUCUUGCAAAGUCCCCAAGAAAACUGUCUCUCAUAUGGGGAAUUUUGACAUGUUCUUUUUUUGUUUGAAGAAGCAAAGGAAUCUGUCUCCUUUACUUCUUCCCGUCUCUCUGCAACUAAAACAUAGGCAUUGGGGGUAGAUAUCUUCUAAAUUGUCUGUUUCUUUGAGUUAAUGGGUGGACUGGAUUUUUGUCUUUCAAUUACAUUUGGGCUAAAAGGCUUUCUAAGAAUGGGCCUACCUCCUUUUACGUAGUGAAUUGUGGGUUUGCUUUUAAACUCUUGAGCCAACUGUGAUCAAACUUCGACUCAGUUAAAAAAUUGGGCGUUUUAUCUAAAUAUGUCCUUUAAAUAAUAUAAUUAUCGAAAUGGGUCGUUUUUUGUGUUAUUUACUGGACUAGGCUGUUUCCCACGAAAACGCGUCCACGUAAGCGCGAUUUCGUAGUACGUGUCAGCAAAAAAGCCUCCUUGAGGGCGCACUUUGUUGAAGUGGACAAAGUGCUCCCCCAGGAGAGCGUUUUGCCCGUGUAACGGUCAAAUUUUUGACCGUUGGCUUCCAACGGUCCAAAAAAAAAACCUAUAAACCCUCCAAAUCAUUUUUUCACACAAAUCUCUCAAAUUUCUAUAAUUCUCUCAAAAUUCCUUUCCCUUUAAUUAUUUUUCACACAAUUCUCUCAUAAUUCUCAACAUUCUUUCAAUAUUCCCUUAAAAAAUCUAUCAAAUUUCAUUAAAAUUUUCUCAAAAUUCUAUCAAAUUUCUUUCAAAAUUCUGUUUAAAUUUUUUUUGAAUUUAAAUUAAAAAAAUCUGAUCGUGUUAGCAAUGGCCGGAGAGUUAAUCCGUCUCGAUAAUAAGCACAUCUCCGUUGAUCAAAUGACAAUGGUAAGUGAUAAUUUUAAAUUUUCAAUACUAUUAGAUAUUAUUUUAAUUUAUGCAAAUUUAAUUAAAUUUGAAAUACUAUUUGAUAUUUUAUUACUGCUUGAUUUUUUAUUUCAUUUAUGAUGCUUGAUUUUUUAUUUCAUUUAUGAUGUUUGCAUUAAUUAAUUUAUGCAAUUUUAAUUAAUUUUUGUUUGAUAAAUUUUUAUAAUAGUCUGUAGAUCAGGUGUUGUAAUGCUACAUCCGUAAUAUGUUUGGUCCUCCAUCGCCAUUGAUUGAGAAUUACUUGCGAGAAGCGGGAUUUUGGCACGUGGCCACGAUAGGCCGGGGGUGCAAGUUGGACCCGAAACUAAUCAGUGCAUUGAUAGAGAGGUAGAGACCUAAGACGCGGACUUUUCAUCUUCCAUGCGGAGAGUGUACUAUCAUUCUGGAAGACGUGCAUUUGCAAUUAGGAUUGCCGGUGGAUGGGUACGCAGUCACCGGGUCUGCAUCAUCUACUGAUUGGGGAGCCAUAUGCUACGAGCUUUUGGGUGCUAUACCUGAUAAAAUUAACUGAGGUCGGAUCGAGAUGGGAUGGUUACGAGACACAUUCCCGGAGCCGGAUAAUGAUUCGACUGAACUCGAAAGAAUACGAUAUGCUCGGGCAUAUAUUCUUGAGAUGAUUGGAGGUUAUUUGAUGUCGGACUUGUCAAGAAACCUCGUACAUCUGAGAUGGCUGCUGAAACUUGUAAAUUUUAGAGCAGCCGGCGAAUUGAGUUGGGGGUCUGUCGUGUUGACAACAUUGUACAAGGAAAUGUGUGGGGCGACGCGACCGAACAAAGCCAAAAUAGGAGGUUGCCUAUCACUACUGCAAUCAUGGGCACGAUUUCGCUUUCCAUUCUUAUGUCCUCGAGUCGACCACCCAUAUACAUUUCCACUCAUAACGAGGUAAUUUUUAUAUUAAAUUUUACAAUUAUUACGUAGAUUUAGAAUAUAAUUUUAUGCUAAAAAUUAAUUUAAUUAGGUGGAACCAUUCGACGAGUUAUGUCGGAAUACCUACCUCUCUCGAAGAUAUAUGACUUCUAUUAGACCAACGAUCGGAAGUAGAAGUAAGUAUUAAAUAAAAUAUAUAUACAUAAUAAAAUAGUCGUUUCGUAUUUAGUAUUAUGUAUUAUGUAUAUAAGUAAUAUUUUUAUCAUGUUCAUAUAGUUUCAAUGGACAGCAUACGAGGAUCCGGCAAUUCGGGCAGUAAUUCUGGAUGAAUUCUUUCAAAAUCCAAACGUUUGGCAUGUGAAGGUCCCAUUGGUGAACUAUGCCACCGUGGAGAUGCACCAGUCAGAUAGAGUAUUGUGGUAAUUUGGAUUCCGACAACCAAUUCCCGUGGCACCUGAGGUGUUUGAUGACGAGCACAAAGUUGACUUACGGCAACUCCAUACGGAUUGGCCUAGAUUCUGGUCACACUAUAUCGAAAUGUGGGAAAAUCGGUAUGAUUAUAUACCUACUCGGGAACCGAUCAUUGUUCUAGAGUUAGCGUGCGUAGCGGAAUACAUGUCAUGGUUUAGGAUCCAUGACAACCCAUAUUUAUUGUCGGAAGAGGAGAGGCGACAACAAAUUCGUGCUUAAAGGGAACGACGGGGCCCUUUAAAUCUAAGAAGAAGGGACGACGACGCAGGCCGAUCAACAGCACCCACACAAUCAUCAGGCCCAACAAUUCAGCGGACGACACCCACAUCACAGCCUUUUCAGAUUAUGCCAUGUGCAUAUCCUAGCCCUUAUAUGUAUCCUAACCCUUAUAUGUUUCCUUUUCCUAGUCCUAUGGCAGGUUGGAAUCUAUAGCCCGUAUCAUCUCCGUUCUUGAUUACUACGAGUCGACCUCCAAUCUAUAGGCUGCCUUCGCAUAAAGGAUCACACGAGGCACCAUCGGGGAGCUCUUCUUUUUACCAAUCUCCACUACCUUACGGGAUUCAAACACCUCCGCCAUGGGUGACUCAAACACCACCGCAAUCAUUAUUCUAUCAAGGUGGUUCAUCCUCCCAACAGCCACAACCAGAUCUCUUGCCGGAGGAACCACAACCCUGGCCGGAAGCUGAUCGAAGGAGGAAUCCACCACGGACCCGUCGACGACCUCCAUGUGGCAUUGAUUCUGACCACCACGAACAUUGAUUUUUUAAAUAUAUUUGUACAAAAUUUUUUAUAUUGUUUCAUUUAAUAAAAAUAAAAGUUCUUUUGAAUAAGACAAUUGUAAUAUAACAUAGUUUCAUUUAAUGAAAUAUAAAUAAUACAACAUAGUUUUUUACGACAACUAUCAACUAUUUCAAUUUGGACAUGAUCUACUUGUACGGCCUGGGUUCCUACACCAUCCGCACAACUUCUGAUUAUUGGUUGUUUCUCGGAUAUCCAUAUUGGUACGUAUUCUAGUCGAGUAAGGUCGGCCUUUCGGUUUGCGACGCAAUUCUCUAUCCGGUAGCAGCUUAAAUGGAGAAAACGAUACAAACGACCAGUUACGUUCAUCUGGGACAGGUGGAAAUACGUGUUCCACACGUUGUACAUGGUUUCUAGUUUGUACACUUCGUCGACGUAGCUUAUGGGAUCUAGACGGAGAUUCUAACAAGCUGCAAUUACAUGAGCGCAUGGAUAAUGAAGUGCGUCAAACCUCCCACAGUCACAAGUCCUAUUUCUCAAGUGUACACGAUAUUGCCUGCCAAUAAUACCUUCGUGCGGUCUGUCAAACUCAGUCACACGAAACCAUAGGUUGUCUCGGUCAUGACAGACUGUGUGUAUGGUGUUCGCCCAUGCUUUCGCCUUGUUAAUUUCUUGCAAUACCUUUGCGCACCAUACAUGGCCUCCUUGCAUUUGGCCUUUAUAACUCGCUGCUCGCUUCAGAAAUAGUACCGCUAAACUAAAAUAUGUCUCUCUAGCAACCGAUGUUAUCGGCAAAUGACAUGUUCCUUUUAGAACAGAAUUUAUGACCAUAUCAUAGGCCACCGUUGUAUGCUUGUGUCCACUGUUCGAAAGAUAUGUUACAGAGGUAGUCUACGCCUUCUUCGUUAACUGAACGCAAAACCUCUAAUAUCUCAUGAAAACGGUCCUUACUUAUAUCAUACCCUGCCAAUAUAAGUUGAUAGCAAAAAUUACAUACCACUUUUCCAUUUAAAAUAAAUUCAAUAUUACAAACGAAAUUACAUUAAUAGAUAUUAAAUACCCAUAUUGGUCACUUGUCGUUUUUCACUUAUAAAUCGAAAUUGCCCGUAGUAGUUGGACGCAAUGUGCCUUAGGCAAUACCGAUAGUGUGUGCGAUGCCAUAGGCUUCCCUAUUACUCAAUUGCGGCUAGUAUUCUGAUGCCUCAAUCCGAUAUGACGCAGAUAUUAGGUUGGGGGCAGACAUGCCUCCUUAACCUAUAAAGCAAGAACUCCCUGUAACACCCCAAACCCGACCCAGAUGUUAUGGCCGGAUCCGACAUGCCACAUUAAAAUGUUCAAAAUAUUUCAGGUUGUUGUUCUAGAAAAACUUACUUAGUGGUUUAAGAGAUAAUUUCAAUGCAGGUUAAGGUGAAUGGAAGCUGAGCACCAGGUAGGAAACCGGAAAGGAGGAGGUGAGUCUAUCGGAUUGCUUAAGCACCAAGCUCCCUUCGAAUCCAAUCCUAGACAUGCACACCGCUAUUGCCACACCUUAACGUCAUGUAUAUUUCCAGAAAACCAAUUUGAUUAAGUCCUUUUUAGGAAAAGUGAUUAAUUUUGGAAAAUAUUUUCAUUGCAGAAGCUUUACUUGUUGUCGUGUAUUUUUGAAAUCAAUUGUUGUUUUUAAAAACGCGCCCUAAAAGUUAUUCAAUUUUGACAGUUAAAUAUAAGUAAUACCUAUCUUAAUUAAACAUAUUAAAACCAUAAAAAUAAUUAAGCGGCCUUAUUACAAUUAAAGAACCCAAAACCUUAAACGUAAAUAAAAAGGAUGUCCAGGUCACUAGUAGAAAAUUAACUUGCAGAACGUGUGGCCACUCCGAAUCUCUCACAGCUCCAAGCCCACUAUGGUUGGGGAUUACCUGUGUGGAUGAAAAUAAAGGGGUGAGUUUGGGGAAACUCAGUGUGUAAAUUAACCCAACCAUAGCCUAUAUCGGUUCAAACCACAGAGAACAGAUUAAGUUGGCCUUAGCCCAGAACAAAAGUCAGAAUAGAGCCCAUAGACCCAGAACAGAACAUGACAGAUAUCACAUGGUUAUGCAAAACCCAACCCAUAUCCAACCACAUGCACUCCCAUACCAACCUUCCACCAUGUGGAGAGACUACUCGACCCACCCAAUAGCUACACGCUACAAAAAUAUGCAGCAUGACUGCCAGAACAGAUAAUGUGACAGAGUCACCAGAUACAGAUAAUCGUGGUAGAGUCACCAGAACAGAUAUAUGUGACAGAGUCACCAGAUCAGAUAAUUGUGGCAUAGCCACCAGGACGCUUCCUCCAUAAUAUAACCCAUAUCCCCAUGCAGCAGAUAUACAAUCAUGGUAUACAUCAUACAGAAUUAAAUCAUCAUGCUUUUCAGUCAAAAGUAAUUCCUAGGGGUAUAAUGGUAAUUUUGUACCUAGGGGUAUAUUAGUAAUUUCCAUACAUAGGGGUAUUCAAGUAAUUUAUCUAUUCAUAAGGUUUCCAUGCAUAACAUAGCCAUUUACGUACGACCAGAAACACUUACCGCGUUUUCUUACCGAAUUGGGCCCGUUGGCCCACUAUCCCGAUUUUGGCCCAUUAAGCCAAAAAACACCGAAAUGCAAGGAAUCGUGCACUUUGCAAACUUAUCAUUUUAAUUUACCACAUACAUCAAACUAUUAAUCUCACGAGCAUUCGCACACUCGCAUGUUUUCAAAAUACCGACUUUUUGGCAUUUCGGCUUUUCAGCUUUUACCGAUCUAGUCUAUGAGAUGAUGUCAGUUACACACCUGAUUUAUGACGAUACAUUGGCGAGAUCCACCUACGAACUGCCUACAAUUGGAUUACUAACAUGUCAAUCUAUAUAUCAAAAACAACUAUGUAUUUUAACCCAUUACCAUAUUCGGUUAGCACAACCUUAGAUCCCAGAGUUCCUUACCUUUUGCCGAAAUAUGGGUUAGAUAUGGAGAGCCAACUGAAUAAGUUCUCAAGCCCUUUGCUGUAUAUCCCCUUGGCCACGCUACCGUUUACACAACCAACAGAAAAACGCAAAUCCCUUAGUCCAAUAACGCUAGCCACCCUAAGGGUUUCGACUUUUCCUUUCUAAAUACAAUGAGACUAAUGAUAGUUGUUCGAAAGGCUUACCUAACAUCAAUCGGCUCAGAAGAAUGUUCCUAUCUACGAUUCUUUUAUCUCCAAUCCACCGCAGUCACAAGAAGAAGCAGAUUCAAACAACCAAAGAUUCGGCCUCCUUCACCUCCGGUAUGUAGGUUUUCUGUUUUUAGAGAAGUAAGAGCAGAAAAGUUCGGCUACCACAAGAUUCGACUAUUGAGGAAAAUUGAAGAUGGAAAAAUAAAGGAUGAGAUAGAGGAAGAAGGGUAUAGGUUCGGUUAUGGAAAAGAAAAGAUGGAAGAAGAAGGAAAAAGAUGAGAGGUAGUAUUCGGCUAUGGAGAAAACGGCACAAUGAGGGGUUCCAAGUUUGGCUAUGGGAAGAAAAAGGGAACAGAUGACCGAAAGAAAGAGAAGAAGAUGAGAGAAUUCGGUUCUUGAAGAGGAGGAGUCGGCAGGUGUAGGGUAUAAGUUCGGCUUCUAUCAAAAACAAAAAACAAAAAAAAUUCGACAGCCACCCUUCCCAAAAGCCAAAAUUCCCAACACUAAAUGACCUACCCGAAUUUCCUAUGCUAGAUGCCCUUGGCUGACCAUCUCUUGCUCCUUGAUCAGCUCCUAAAUCUUCUCCCCUUAUCAGCUCCUAAAUCUUCUCUCUUAUCCCCUCCUUACUCAAUCACCUGAGCAACUCAAACUCCUCCUGACAGUCUUUUACUUGAGUUCCAUUGCUUACCCUUCCUAAACAUAAAAAUAAUAAUUCCCUUAAUAUGCUGUCAUUGUGACUUGAACCUCAGCUCUCCCUAGCAUCCACACGCCACUUUUAUAGCCUUCCCAGUGGCGUCACAUGCCACUUUGCCACCUGCUUCCUUGUGUUUUAUUUUACCCAAUUAAUACUUAAAAGCCCAAUUAACCAGAACCCCUUUUUCUUAUGGAACUAAAAUUAACUAAAGUUACCGAGUUUUAACUUAAGCUUGGGUCUUCUAGAGGCCCACUAACAUAAUUAACCUACACCAAACAGACAAAACACAGCAAUUUUAAAAAUCAUUGAAAAUCACAGAAAUCCCGAAAAUCCUGAAAAUUGGGGCGUUACACUCCCAAUCAUCAGCUGACUCCCCCGGUGUUAUUGCAAACGCAACUGGAAGGAUUCUCCCACUACCAUUCUGUGUCACAGCUACCAAUAGCCGAUGGGUAUAUCUACUGUACAUAAAGGUACCGUCAAUUUGUACUAAUGGCUUGCAAUAUAAAAAUGCAUCUUGGCAUUACUUAAAGGUCCAUAACAGACAUUUAAAUACUUGGCAUCCAUGGAGCAAUCGGUCGUUGUAGUACGCAGGUUCGGUUUCAAGGUUUGUUACGCAACCUGGGACAUAUCUCUCCAGCACCUGACACCACUGCCACACUUUAUUAUAUGAAGCGUCCCACCCACCAUGAAUCUUUUCCAACGCCUUCUGCUUAGCUAUCCAAGCCUUGUGGUAAGAGGGUGUGUACCUUAACUGGCUACGAAUAUUGGCAAUUAAGAUCGACACUGAAAUUUUGGGAUCAGCCUUCACUGUCGGUAGUAUUAAGGUAGCUAACAUAUCUGAAUUCAUCUUGGGAUGAUCUUCUGAAACACCUGUCAACGAAGUACGUUAAAAAAUGCAACAGUACAUAAUAACAGUACCAUUAAAAAAAUCUAAACGGUUAGUGAUACUGUACUGGCAGCACAUGUAUGUGGACCUUUGUACUUUUUUAUCUCCCACAAGCCUGUCUUUUUCCUUAACGAGGCUAUGACUUUCCAUGAAGAUGUACUGUCUUGCACUGCACACUUGGCCUCAAACUUAUUGGAUUUGGAUUUAACCACGUUGUAGUUAACCCCGUUCAUGAUGCUAUGUUAUUUUAAUUUACCAAGAAAAAUAUCUUUAUUGGAAAACUCCUUACCAACUUUUAAUUCACCUGAAUCCAAUGAGGAACUUGUACGGUCACGCCUUCUGUGUGGUAGAUCUGAAAACCCCAACGCAUCAUCUUCAGAUAGAUCAACAUUAUGCAUAUGGGCUGGAGGCGAGUAUGCCUUGAAUCGUGGAUCUUCUUCUUCAUUAUUUGAACCCCAUUCAACAUCUUCAAGUAUGUUUGGAACAGGCUCUGGUUUAGAAAAUAAUGCAACUUCUGCACCAUCGGGGUCGGCCUCUCGAGGUGGAUCCGCAUCGGACUCAUUAUCUGACCCAUCAUCAUGUGCAACGUAAAAGGUCCCCUCGCCGGUGGACGUCGUAGGGAGUACAUCAUCCCUCCUUAUGGACGUUUCACAACGUCUCCAAUCAGAUGUGGAUUGCCAACCACUAUUAAUUGAUGUCAUUCCCCAGUACGUAUUUCCAGCAUCAAACAUUGACCAACUGAGGUGCAUGUCUCAUCCACUAACGGAGUGUAAUGCAGGGGUUGAGUAUUCUAUACUGCUACUAAACAUGGGCACUUCCGUGUUUUGCCACCCACUAACGGAGUGUCAGGCAGUGGUCGUAUUUUCCUCUCGACCAGCAGCAAAUGUUGAAGCUGUAAAUGCAUCAUUUGGCGAUGAAAAUUGUACAUGUAACUUAAGAUAGGGUGAUCCACUAGCGAGAUGAGUCCGCACCAUUGCCUCUAAGCUACGAGCGCCUUUGAUGUCAAAUGAAUCAUAUGUCACAGAAUCAACUGAAGCAUAAAAUCGGUAUUUAAUAGACAAAACUUUCAUUGACGUUGUUUCGAAGAUUUUACGCCUAAUUCUUUUACGAAGUUCUGUCAAAUCUAUGUUCUGGUUAAAAACCAGUCUCGCUGAGUUCUCCGAUAAAAAAACAACACCGUUCUCGGUGUUACAGACCUCACCAUCAUAGUAAAUAACAGCACUAAUACGUUCACUCAUCUUCAAUUUCUUUUCUUCUUAGCCUCUCUAAUUUUUUUGUUGUAAGUUAUGCAACCUGAGAAUAAAAUUUGGCUAAUUUAUAACCUUAUUUUUCUACGAACUACUGUAGCAAAAGAGCAUCCACGUGGGAGCUUUUUUCAGAAAUUUUGUUAACAGUGCAUCCUGCUUGAAGCGUUUUCGGCACUAUUUGUUCAGAAACGUCUACUCAGAAUUAUUUUUGCACGAACUACUAUAGCAAAAGAGCGUCCACGUGGGAGCUUUUUCCAGAAAUUUUGCUGACAGUGCAUCCUGCUUGAAGCGUUUUCGGCACUAUUUGUUAGCGUCCAUGUGAGAGUUUUUUCCAGAAAUUUUGCUGACAGUGCAUCCUGUUUGAAGCGUUUUUCGACACUAUUUUUCCAGAAACGUCUGCUCAGAAUUAUUCUUGCAGAAAUCCAAAACCUUAAAACUUAUGACAAAAAAAUUUAUAUUGCUUAUAUGUUUUUUCUAAUACCUUAAACACAACUUUAUUUUAAAAAACUAAGCCCUAAUCCCUAAUUUAAUGAAUUAACCCUAAUACACUUUAAUUUAGUAUUUAGUAUUUAAAAUUAAUAGUUAAUUUAAUGAAUUAACCCUAAAACCCUAAAUCCUAAUUCAAUUAAUUUUUUCUCGAAACCCUCAACUUAGCACAGCGCAGUAUGUAUAUAUGCUGCAAUCAUAUUAUCUUUGAGAAAUUUUUUUCUUGUAUGUAUCAAUUAACCUUAAAUUUAAUCAAUUAACCCUAAACCCUAAAUCAAUCCAUAAUUUAAUCAAUUAACCCUAAUACCCUAAACUCUAAUUUAAUAUUUUGUAUUUAAAAUUAAUAGUUAAUUUAUAUCCCAAUUCAAUUAUUUUUUUUUCUAAAACCUUAAAUCCUUAAACCUUUACAAAACCCUAACCCUAACCUUAAAAACCAUAACCCUAAAUCAAUUAAAUAAAAAACCCUAACCCUAAAAAAAGGGCAAAACGCUCCCCUGGGGGAGCGUUUUGCUGACACGUACUACGAAAUCGAGCUUACGUGGACGCGCUUUCGUGGGAAACGGCCUAGUCUAGUAAAUAAUGCAAAAAAUGGCCCAUUUCGGUAAUUAUAUUAUUUAAAGGGCAUAUAUGAGUAAAACGCCCUAAAAAAUUAUUAAUUUAUAAAAUAACAAGUAUUAUUAUGAAGGUAUUUUAUUAUUUUAUAUAAAAUUAAUAAAAAUAAAAGCACACUUAUAAUCAUAUUUGCUACUUUUUAAAUAGAAAAAUUUUUUAGUCAAUUUUUUCAAUUAAGUUAAUGUCUAGUUAAUUUGUGACAUUAAUUUAGCUCAAAAUUUAAAUUAUAUAUAUAUAUAUAUAUAUAAAAGAAGAGGUUGGGAGUAAGGGUUGUCUAGGGAUUGAAUUCAAAAUUGAUGGUGAUUGAUGUUGAUAACAAAUUCUCUCUAUUCAUGAUUCAAUUAACAAAACUGAACUUAUAUUUGAAAUUAGAAUUUUGAUUGAUUAAACUAGUUUACCUAACUAUAUAUAACUAUAUAUAACGGGGUUGAUUGAAUUAGUGUUACAAUUUGACGAAAUUACUUGAAAAAUAUUUUUAAAUGAAGUAUUGAAGAUUAAUAUGAGGGUUUUUUAUCUUUUAUUUUUAUACGAAAUGUUUAAAUAAAACAAUUAAAAAUAUAUUUAAUUUACCAAUUAUUAAAUAAUUUUUUUAAAAAUAUUUAAAAAAUUUUCAUGAUGCUUUCUUUAUAACUUUAUUUAUAAUUCAAUUAUUAAAUAGUUUUAAAAAAAGAAUAUUUUAAUAUUUAAUUAUUAUUCAUUAAUUUAUUUUUUAAUUAUGUUUGCACCUGGCAUGUUAAGUUUGUUAUAUAUCAAAUUAGAUUAGUUAUCAAUAUUACAUUAGCAUAAAUUAAUAGUAUUAUGCAGAAAUUUUAACAUGUGUAACGAAAUAAAAGUUGAUACGAAUUAAAUCUCAAAAAAAAUUAAAUGUGAACCUAAAUUAUAAUUUAUUAACCGAUUGUUCACCUUUUUCAAAAAUAAUUAAUUAAGUAGCUGAGAUUAGUUUAAGGUAGAAACUAUAGAUUAAGCGGCAGAAUUUAGGGAUUCUUCUUCAUUCGAUGUUUUUAUUUCUUAAUUAUUGUAGCAGAUAAUUGUCUAACAAGUUUAAUUAUAUAUAUAAAAGGACACUCUAAUUUCGUAUACUUUGAAAGCGUGCACGCACAAAUAAAUAAGGUAUAGCGAGUAAUUUGUUACACAAAGGAUUAUAGGGUAAAACCCCCCUCAAACUAUUGUAUAAUGUUCAAAUAAACUCCUAUAUUUAUUUUGAUUUUUACUCCUUAAUUUCAUCUUUUCUUUAAAAAAUAUUUAAUUAAAAUUAAAAGUCUAUUUAUCUGCAAAAUAAGCAUAAAAUAUUGUUUAAAUAUGAGUGUGUUAACUUUACAAAUAUCAUUAUUUUAAUGCCUAACGUCAUCCAUAUCUAUAUAACUAUAUAUAAAAGAAAGGUUGUCAUACCCAAACCAUGCUCCCAAGUCUCUCUCUUUUUCUUUUAUUGCAUUUUAUCAAAAUGGUUCAAUUUCAACUUUGGUGUUUUUAAUAUGUUUAAAUUUAAAAUUUAACUUUUAAUAUAAAUUGGUCUCUAUAUUAUUAAUUAGUCUACAUGAUUAAUAUUGUUAAUUUUUGAUUAAAACAUUACGUGAUUUUAUAUUAUUUAAAUAUUCUAAGAGUCUUAGAGACUAACAUGUGGUUUUGUACUCUUUUGAAGUUUACGUGGCUCUUACCAUUUCUUUUUGCGAUUGCAUAAAACAAAUUAAAUUUUAAUUAUGCUUAAUUUUGAGAUUUAAUUGCUACACAUUAAUUUCUAAUGUAAUUUGGUUAUUUCAUUUUUUAUAAUGUUAUUAAUUAGUUCGAAUAGGUAAUAUUUUUAUUUUUUUAUUAAAAUAUCACAUGGGUAUAUAUAGUUUGAAUGCCCUAGGAAUUUUAAAAACAUAUAUAUAUAUAUAGCUUUUUAUUUCUUUUAGGUUUACCUUGAUGCUUUUAUUUUUUUAAUAUUAUAAGAUAAUGAUCAAAUUUUAGUUUUAACCUUAUACUACAUUGAAACUUGGGAUUUAAUCUAUAUAUUUUAUUUUUUGACAUAAUUUGAUAUUUAUACUUUUAUAAUGCUAUUAGUUAGUCUAAAUAUUUAAUAUUGUUAACUAUUUUAAUCAAAAUGUCAGAAGUCUAUUUUUCUUAAUAACAAUAUUCUAACAAAUAAAGUUUAUUUUAUCAUGACAAGUUCAAAUUAAUAUUUUUCAAUCCAUAUAAGCAUUUUCAAUAUAAUUUUUUUAUUGUUACAUAAUUAUCAAGUAAUUUUUUUUAAAUUUUAUAAUGUCACAUCAAUGAAUUCAAUAAAAAAAAUUUAACAAUUGAAUAUAAUUUUUUAAAUUAAAAAAUUAGAGGGUCUAAAAUUUUGAAACUAAAAAUAAGAUUAAACUUUAAAAUUGUAAUCCAUAAUAACCCAACGUAAAACAAGAGAAUGCUAUUAAUAUUUAAUCAAUUCAAUCUCAUAAAUUUGGCUACCAAUUUUUAUUGGCCAUCUGUCUAUCAAUAAGGCAAGUUGGUGGGAAAUUAAAUUGCACAUGAUUUAUGAAGAAUGAAGAAAAUGGAAAAACACUCCUAACAUGCACUAAAGUUUUACGUCUAAAGGGUUUAAAAACUAAGCAUAAUAAAAUUUCACCCUUCAACUUUAUAAAAAAAUUAUUUUAAUUUUUUAUUUAAUUUUUCAUCUUUUUUAUCUUUAAACUUAUAUUUUUGUUAAAUCACCCCAAAAUGGAUAGAAAAAUUAACAUUUGUUAAUUUUAAUGAUGUGACAUACAUGUGGAUAACAUGUCAGCAUAAAAAUUUAAAAUAUUUAAAAAUACUUUUUAAUAAUUUUUUACACUUUUUAAAAUAAGUUUAAAAUAAUUAAAUAUUGACAUGUCAUUCGCAAGAUAAUCCACGUGUAUGUCACAUCAGUAAAGUAAAAAAAAUUAACUUUUCCAUUCAUUUUUGGGUGAUUUAACAAAAAAAUGCAAGUUUAAUGGCUAAAAGAGACAAAAUUUAAAUGGAGGACUAAAAUGACUUUUUUUAUAAAGUUGGAAGAUCAAAUAAGUCAUUAUACCUAAAAACUAAGGUAUUCUAGUUUUUGUUUUAAUACUAAUAUAUAUUGAUAUAAAAAUAUUUUAAUGUUUAUCGAUAUUCUUAUUUAUAUAUUUUUUAAUUUUUAAUAAAUUAUAUAUUAUAUUUACAUGUAAAAAUAUCCUAAUUAUUACGUAUUACAUCUAUGUACAUAUAUUUAUAUGUAAAUAUAAAUAUUAAAAUUAUUAAUUAAUUUCAACAAUUUAAUUUUGAACUGUUAUCAAAUAUCCGAUUAACAUGGAUUCAAAUCUUGUGACCCUAUCUUUACCUCUCAUAUUAUAUAAAAAUUUUAAUAACAUAAUUUAAUAAUUAUAUAUUAACUUUAAGGGAAUAACUUAUAUUAGGAUUAUAUUAAAAUAUAUAGUUUUUAGGUAUCAAUAAAAUAGUACCACAUUAUCAAUUUUUAAAGACAAUACGAAUAUUAUUGUACACCUAUUCAUAUAUGAUAUAUUUUUUUUUAAACUUAAUUUAACUUUAAUUAAAUUAUUUAAAAAAAUAUUUUUUAUUAAAUAAACAAACAUGCUUCUUCUUUUUUUAUCUUAUAAUAUUUUAAUUAUUUUUAGUUUUUUUAAUUUAAUUGUCUUUUAUUCUUGUGUGGGCAGCCAAUCUUUUUAUUUUCUCUUUUCAUUUUUAAUUUUCUAUUUAAAAUUUAAAUUAAAUACCAAAAACUUGAUAAAUGAUUAUAAUUUUUCAAUUUCCAAUUUUUUGAUAAAUGGUUAUAAUUUCUCAAUUUUUUGUCAAAGGUUUUCUUUUUUUCUUUUUUCUUUUUACAUUAAAAUUUCCGCUUAAGAUUUUCACCUUUUUUUUUAAAAUUUUUUUAUCUAUUGAUUUCAGCAUUUUUAAUUUCCAAUUAUUUUGUUUAUGUUCUUUUUGUUGCAUAUUAAUUGUAAGGUGUUUGUUUAUAUAUAUAUAUAUAUAAAUAAUAUAUAAAUGAUUAAUUUUAACUAACUCAAUUAAAAUUAUUAAAAAAAUUAAUUUAAUUAAAGUUAAAUUAAAUUAAAAAAGAUAUCAUAUACGGAUGAGUGUAUAAUAAUAUAUACAUCUUUAAAAAUUGAUGAUGUGAUUAGUGCCUAAAAAUUAUAUAUUUUAGAAUAAUCCUGAAUAAAUUAUUCAAUGUAUUUUUUAAACUAUUUAAAAUAAAAAAAUUUAAAUAUUUACACUUAUGAGUACGAUAUUUACCAACAAAAUCAAAAUGGUUUGGAUUGGUACCGUGGCGGGCGGUAGUAGGCAACUACGUUAAAGACAACAAGGCGAUAUUUUCUUUCAUUAUUAAUUUCGUAAAGCUAUCGUUAUAACAACUUCAUUUAGCCACCACAUUAGGACACCAUUAAGGUUAUCUUUUGGUUGAGAUUCUGAUCCUCUCAGGCGCAUCAUAUGUUCGAAAGAAGGAGCAUGUUGAUGUCAACAUUAACAAAGAAAGAACAAGGGUUUAAUUUUGUCUCUAAUCCCUGUAUUCUUUAGAUUUUUGAAAGUCUUCCUACUUUUAAUUUUAAGUUAGUAAAUUCAAAUCAAAGGAAUAAAGAGAUUAAAUUUGUUGAAAAUAAAAACAAACACAUUAAAUUUUAAAGGUUUAAACAACACAGGGAGAACAAGCUUGGCAAUGCCAAAAGAUUAAAUGACAAAUAAAAGGAAAAAUUAUUAGCAUUUCCCUUUUUCUUUUUAUAGCAUUUUCAAUUCAAGCUGAUAGUUUAAUGGCCCCUCUACUUGCUAGGAAUUGUGACAAUGAUAUUCACAGUGUAUUUAUCUUCCUGAGGCGAAGGAAUAACAAUGACAAGCCCACCCAACGUCGAUCUAAGCCAAUACGAAACAUGCGCAGGUUUAUUCCCAUCUCCAAAACUAACUUCAUUAGCCCCCAAAUCAUCCCAUUUUGCACGAUUCAAGACUCCCAUCUCUGCUUCUUUCGACAUCCCUUGCUUUGAGCAGCUUUCAACUUUGAUGGACUCAAACGAUUCGUUCACAAACAAGGAAAAUUCUCCUCCCACAACACUUCCUAGGUUGCUCUCGGCUUCCUCCAGACAGGCUAAUGCCGUUUUCCUGCACCAGUCACUCCCUGGACUUUCAGUUUCAGCAUGGAUCUGGAAAAUCAUGGUUUUGGCUGAGUUUUUGCUUGAAUUUGAGGUGAUGAUGUUAAGGGAGGCACCAUUGGUGUUUUUCAGACCAGGAAGGUAGAAUAAAGGAAGCUUUUGUUCAUCGUUUUUGUUGAUAAUAACCUUGUUGUGAAUAUCUGCCCAUGUCUUAAGGAACUCUUUCAUUAACAAAAGAUCUGCUAGAAGAAUACUGCAGCUAAUCCCAAUUGAAUAUCCACCACACUGGAAAUUAGUAACCUGUAAAAAAAAUAAAUUCAGGGUCACUAAAAUCUCAUCAAUAGACAGUUUUGUUUUUGUUUUUUGGGGAUACCUGAACAUAAAAGAGGGGGAAGAACUGUGGGUUUUGUUCAUCAAUAUCUUUCCAGAAAACAAGCUGAGCUUCAGCAUCUUCCCUCUGUUUCAAAUCAAGAAAAUCCGACAAAUUCAUCUGAAUCCUUGCCUCAAUGAGUCUAAUGCCGCAAUCAUUGGAAACAAUCUCCAAUUCUCCAUCGUUUCGUUCCCCUUUCCGAAGACGACCAGAAAUCAUUGGUUGCUCAUGUAAAGCUCUCCCAAGUGUUUCCUUGAUCCACCCAGCCAAUAACCAACCAGAGUCUUCUUCUUUCUCCUUCAUGUAAUACUGGACCACGUUCAAACACCUUUGGAAAAUCCCAGGUCCUACAAGCUCCCCUGCCAAUACUUGUCGUGUCUGUCGUGGUUCAGUUAUCCUCAUCGGAGUCACUGUCUGAAUAGCUUCAAUGGAUAGUUUAGGGAGAAAGGUAGUGGUGUGGUUGGCCAUCUUUGAGUUUUUUAGCUGAACUCUUUCAACUGAACGGGUGUCUAAUUCCCUUGGUUAUAUACAGAUAGAAACACGUCCACCUCAAAAUGUUGGAUCAAAAGAAAUUAACUGGUUUUUAAAAGUACAAAAAUGUCAUUGCCGUGAUUGAUUAAAACCAACCAUUAUGAUUUAGUAGUUUAAUUGAUCCCAAAAAGGAAUGCGCAGAUGUUAAACUUUGGGUGUUGAAUGAGAGGGUGGACCCAUAGAUGAGGAACGACCGCAAGGAAGGAAUUACCGGACAAUAAAAUGGGGCGGCAUUUGAAAUAGAUGGAUGGGGUUGGUGGCUUCAUUUACUAAGUGUGGGAAAGUUGAUCUAAAAAACACCCAACGCCCAGAUCUCCUUAAUUAAUUAGAUAGCAUGUAAACAUCACUCUCGUCUAAUUGUAAGCACCAACUGGCUCUACUGGUUCCGCUACCCCUACGCAAUUAAUGUAGUGGCAAGUUACGCUUCUCACGCUUUCAUUAUUGUUUGUCUUUGUUUUUGUUGGCUGGUGAUUCAAUCUCACGUGGACUUGUUUUAAUAAUAACUAGGGUAAAUUGCACCAACAGUCACCCAACUUUGGGGUAACUAACAAAACAGUCAUCUAGGUUUUAUUUUAGUCACUUAACUUUCAAAAAGUAAUAAAACGGUCCUUUUUACCGUUUUUCGUCACAGAGUCACAGACGUCACAGUAAAGUGACGUGGCAGGUGACAGAGUCCUUGCUGUCAACCUUAAGUCUAGCUGGCCGGUUACUAACACUUUAACAAUAGUACCAGCACCAUUUUAGGGUUUGAAAAAAAGAAAAAGAAGAAGAAGAAGAGAAGAAGGAAGAGAAGAAGAAGGAGAAGAGGAAAAAUGGAUAUACCUGAAGUGAUUCCAGUGUGCUAUUGUGGAAACCCAGCCAAAUUAAACACGUCUUGGUCUAAUGACAACCCAGGUAGGAGGUUUUUUGGGCGUAAGAAAUUCAGCAGUGGAUUUCGAAAACCAUGUCGGUUUUUCAGCUGGUUUGAUCCACCAUUGACGCCCCGUUUAAGAGUUGUGUUGUUGGGUCUGCUGAAAAAAGUGAAGACAUUAGAGGAUGCAAGGAAGAGGGAGAGAAGAACCUGGUUUUUGGUGCUUGUAAUUGUUACUGUUUUGCUAUUUUCAGAACCUUAAAAAUCAUUUUAUGUUAAUUGAAAACCAGCUUAUGUUUUGUAAUUUUGUUGCUGGUAAAUUGUUGCUUAUGUUGGUAUAGAUGGCUGUUGUUAUACAUGGCUAACCAUCUCAUGUUGUUUACAAACACUUGAAUGAAAUGGAAAAUUUUUGUUGAUUACAAAUUGUGUUGGAAUAUUUUUGUUGCUUAACAUGUGUUAAAAAUGUUUGCUGGUAUACAUAGCUAACCAGCUCAUGUUGUUGUUUACAAAUUGCUUAACACUUGGUAUACAUGGCUGCUGGUUAGAAAAGAUAACAAUUGAUAUACAAAUUGCUGAACAGUUGGUAUACAUGGCUGCUAGUUAGAAAAGAUAACAGUUGGUAUACAAAUUGCUUAACAGUUGGAUAACAAAUAGCAUGGAUAAAUUGCUCAUAUAUUAAAGCCAAAAUGCCAAACUGUUUACAAAAGGAAUAAGGGGCAAAAUAUUGCCAAAUUUUCCUACAAUUCAUUACAAUUGAACAGAUGUGAAUUGUAGGGAAAUUUACAAAAAAAUUCAGUGACUAUGCCUAAGUUUAUCAACAGUAGCAAUCAUAGGCAAAUUUCCAAAAAAAAUUAUCUAAUCAGUAGCAGGCAAAUUUACACAGUUUUAAAAGGUUAACAAAAUGUAGUCUGUUCACAUCAUCAUCAAUGGUCUGUCAUGGAUGACUCUUGAGUAGAAGGCAUCCAUCUAACAGUGGACAGUGGUUGUGGUUGAUUUUCUCUUUAAUGGGUGCUUUUGUCUUAGGGCAGCUUCUUGAUAGUUGGGACAGUAGGUAACUGAGUUGGGGCACCUUGUUGAGUUGGGGUACCCUCUUGCUAACUUGGGGUAGCCUGUUGCUAGGUUCGGACAUCAACUCGAUGUCUUUGAACCUACAAGAAUAAAAGAAAUGUGAAAAACAAACAAAUUCAUAGAUAGAAGUAUACUAUAAGUUAAGGCAAAUUACUUACUGGAAUGUUUUGGCCAACUUCCCCUUUGCAACUCCUCUUAUUGUGGCCUAUUAUUUUGCAUUUACUGCACCUCAUCUCCACUCCUCUCUUGCUAAACCUUUCUGUUGUUUGUGGUUUAUCAGGUUCUUUCGUUCUCACUUUAGUAGGACUGCCAGGUGGCCUUCUUAAUGGAAUAGGUAGUAUUGGUAGCAUGUUUGACAAAGAGGCCCAUUGUUUAGGACCCUUUACUGGACUUACCAAGUUGGAGUAAAUUUGAAGCUGGGUUUGCUUGGUGUACCAGGUUUGUACAUAGGUCUCUAGGAACUCAUUUUUUAUAUGAAUGACAGCUAAUGAAUACAUGCAAGGGAUGCCAGUGAGAUCCUAAUUCCUGUAGGAGCAGGAACUCUGAACUAAGUCCACCACAUGCUGGCUGCCUGGACCACAUUCAACCUGAUACUUGUCCCCACCAGCAUGUGAUGGAACACACCUAAAAAACAGUGAGCAUGCUUGGUUAAAACAUACAAUGACACACCCCCCUUAAAAAAGCAGUCACUACAUGCAUAUUAUAAAAAAAACUCAUUGCAUGCAUAUUAAAAAAUAGGCAACACAUUAACAAUUAUUACAUGCAUAUUAAAAAAUAGUCAACAACUUUCCAACAAUUAUUGCAUGCAUAUUACAAAAUAGUCAACAACUUUCCAACAAUCAUUACAUACAUAUUAAAAAAAGUCAAUAGCUUUCCAACAAUCAGUGCAUGUGGUCAGCAACAUUAAGUCAGAAUAUAGGCAUUAGAAAGAAUCUUUACCUUAAUGAAUAUUUUAUAUUUACAUCCAGUUUUUGCUUGAUCUUUGGACACAAAAUUCCUUUCCAUUUGUCAGCUUCUUCUUUCUUCUUGACAAAAAGUAACAUAAUCUUGGUCCUUAUUGUUUCCAUCAUGGUCAGAAUAGGUUUACCUCUUGCUUCCAGUAUCAUCUGUCCAUAAACCACAUAAAUGAUUAGUGAAUUGCUAAUGAUCAGUAAGAAACAUAAAACAUAGGGAUUUACCUUGUUAAAUAAUUCAGAUAGAUUAUUCACCAACAUGUCAGAAUGACUCCUAAUUGAAAAGUGAGACCUUGACUAGUGAGUAGGGUUCUUCUUCUUCAACUAGUCAUAAGCAUGCUGAUUGGUUUUUCUCAGUUCAUCCAUGGCAUCAUCGAACUCCCUUGUAGUGCUUUCUUUGGCAGUUUUCCAAAGCAAAUCUUUCAACUCCUUUAUUCGGAAACUAACAUUCUUGAAAUUAGAAUGUAGGUGUCUAACACAGUGUCUUGUUUCUGCAUUAGGAAACAACAUACAUAUUGCUUCCAAAAGUCCCUGCAAUUAGGAAAAAAAUAGUUUAAUUCUUUGACAAACCUUAAAUAGAAACAACAUAAAAUAUAUAUAUAUAAAUAGAGUUUUACCUUUUGUUUGUCAGACAUGAAAGAUAUGUGGUACGAGCUCACAAUUUUCAAGUCUAUUGCAAGCAACUCCAAGAACCAAAGCCAUGAUGCUUGGUUUUCACUUUCGACAGCAGCAUAUGCAAGUGGAUAGAUGCCAUUAUUUGCAUCUGUCCCAACAGCUACAAGCAAGUAGCCACCAUAGUAGCCCUUUAAGAAACAUCCAUCUAAACUUACUAUCCUCCUACAACCAGCCCUAUAGCCAUCUUUGCAUGCCUGCAAACAGACAUACAUCAUUUGAAACAAUCUGUUAUCCAAAUAACAGAUUAUUGUUGUUCCCUCAUUUUGGGUCCUAACUUCCAACAAGUAUUCAUAAAUCUUCUUAUAUUGAGCCUUAUGAGCUCCUUCAAUUAAUUCCAAUGCCCUAAGUUUAACCUUCCUACAUUUGGUUAGUGAGACCAAGUAACAAAAAUCUCUAGGGACAUUAGGGUUUAGCCUAGAAGCCCAUAUGAACCAAGAACAUUUUUCAUUGCAGACUGCCUUUAACCUUCUUAAAUCAUUUUUUGGAAACUUAAUAAAAUAAUUAUUCAACCUACCAUACUGUUUGGCAGCUUCUUUUAGACUAUCUUUAGACUUAAAUAACAUUCCAACCUUAAGUCUAGGAUUACUCAUGUCAUUCUCUAAGUUAAACUCAGGCCAAUUUUGGCUAUCUGAGUCAGAUUCAUGUGCACUAUCUAGCCUUACAGAAUCAUCACUAUCACACAGUUCAUCUACUUCUAUACCAUCCAUGUCUAAACCAUCUAAACUAACUCUUUCAGAUGCAUCACUAUCACUACCAGACAUGUUUUCUUCAUUCUUAUUAAAAUUUUCAUCAAUUAAACCUGCCAAACAAAGUACUCAUCAAUAAAGGCAGACAAUAUAGGCAAACACUUUAACCAUUUAUGUCAGACAAUAACCAAUACAAAAUGCCUAAUAAUUUAAUGCAAACACUUCUGUCAUGCAUAUGGCAGGCAAUAACAGGCAAUAACCAAUUUGAUAAUGGUAGAUAUACAUAAUAUACACAAUAAACAUCAUGGCAGAUAUACACAAUAAACAUCAAUUUGAUAAUGCAUUCAUACAAUGGCAGAUAUACACAAUACACAUCAAUUUGAUAAUCGCAUUCAUACAAUGGUAGAAAUAAACAAUAAACAUCAUGCACAUGGCAUACAAUACAAAGUUGAAAUAACCCUAAAUCGAAAUCUAGAUCAAAAUCAAAAUCAAAUUCUAAAUCUAAAUCGAGAUCAAAAUUGGAAUCAAAAUUAAAAUCAAAAUCAAAAUCAAAAUCAGUGAGUGUUUUAAAAUUGAAAUCAAAAUCGAAAUCAGAAUCGAAAUUAAAAUUGAAAUAGAAACAACCGUAAAUCGAAAUAACAACAUUGAAAUCCAAAAAAAUUAAAACUAUAUGCAACAACUUACCCGUUAAAGUGGAUGUAACACCACUGGCAGCUUCUUCUCUAUUGCCCAUUGUCGCUGGCAAUAAAAAAAUUGAAUGGUUUCUGGUUCGUCUUCUUUUCUCCCAAAACAAAAUAAACAAUCGUACCCUAAACCUUAUACCCUGUUAAUGGAUUAUUGAACGAAUUUCUAACCCUAAACCCUUCUUAAUUGAUUCCCAAUUUAGUUUAAACCCUAAAAAACUCUAAAUCAGGAUCGAAAUUUCCCAAAUCGAUUUUCCUUUUUCUUCCCCCCAAAUCCCCUCCUCUAAUCUGUUUUUAACCCUAAAAUAUUACAUUAACUCAUAACCCUUACCCAUUUUUUCCCUAAACUCGCCCCAAUCAGCCGUUUCACCAACGUGGCAAGUUAACUUGCCACAUCAACUGGUUAACUUGCCACGUCAACAAUCCCGUUAAAGCCUUAACGACAAUCGUUAAACGGUGACUAUUUUGUCACUUUUUAAUAAUGUUGAUGACCGUUUUGUUACUUUUUGAAAGUUAAGUGACUGAAAUGAGACCUAGGUGACUGUUUUGUCAGUUAUCCCAAAGUUGGGUGACUGUUGGUGUAAUUUAUCCUAAAAACUACAUUCUUUUAAUGGUGUUUUCAUUUUUCAAUUUAAUUGUUUUAUAUUGUACCAAGAAGCGCGUAAGAAAAAUGAGAGUGACAGUUCACUUUUUUUUCUUAAUUUUUUGAACAACUUUGUUUGUAUUGUUUUUUAUAGUAUUUUUUUUAGAAAAUUAGUUAAUCUAACAAUGUAAUAAUCAUAUUAUAUUAAAUUAUUUAUACUUUUUUAAAUUUAACAUGUAUAUUUUAAAAUUAAUUCUCAUAGUAUUUUUUUUCAAAAAUUAUUUUUUAGAAUAUUUUUUAAAGGAUUAUCAAAUGUUGAAUUUUGAUAUUUAUGUUGAAUAAUAUGUAAAAAAUUUAUUGUCUAAUCAUUUGGCGAUGAUGAAAAGACAUUACUUUGACCUCAACACCCAUAAACUUUGAGGUCCUUACCACUAGUUUUUAGGAUUCUCCCAAGAAUCUAGUACUUUGCAGUUGUAGAUAGCGAUUUAACGUGAUGGACCAUGAACUCAAAUUCUAUGAGUGUCAAAUUUAGGUUUUCUUUAUUUAAUAUGUUAACUUUUGUUCUAUACAUGGCAUAAGAAAGUUGUGUUUUUUUUCUUUUGUAAAGUUAUUUGUGUAGCAAGUUGGUGUUAAUAUUGUUGGAUUAUUUGUUUUUAAGAAUUAUUAAAAUCGUUAGUUUUGUAUUUAUUUGUUGUUACAUUUGUUGAAUAUGUUCUACAUAUGGUAUAAAGUUUUAUUGUUUUUUUUUCUUUCCAUUCUAGUAAAUUAGAGUUAAUUUUGUUGAAUUCUUUGUUAUUAAGGGUUGUUAAAAUCGAUAAUGUUUUUUUUUGUAAUAUUUGGAAUGUAAUAUUUGAUAGCCUUAAGAUGGCAGACUAAUUCUUGGUACAAAUCCAUUUGAAUGGAGAAAUGUUUUUGACUAAUGAUGGUGUUGUAUUCCAAUCGGAUAUGACCAUUAACAUGACUUUUAGGAGUGAUACUUCCUUGGACAACAUGAAAGGAGGAUCCUAAAGAAAAUCCAGGUCAAGAGUAUUAAGUGCAUAUCUAACAUAAAGUAUAGAUUUCCAAGGUCCAAUAACAAAAAAAAGUGUAAAUACAUUGCGUUGGAUCUCAAUAAUAAUGAAGAUGUUGAGACAAUGGUGUUUGGGAUUAAGAAAGCAAUGAUGUUACUAUAGAUUUAUUAGUGGAGGUUGAAGAUAUGCUUAAUAUUGAAUAUGAGAUCUCGAAUUAUAUAAGCAUAUCGAUUAUCUCAAAACCUACAUAUGAUAUUGGUAUUCCACUAAUGUUGGACAAUUUGGGUCCCUUUUUUAUUACUAUAGUUAGGGGUCCAUGAUUUUAGAGAAUCCCCUAAUGUUACCUAUCCCAAUUACUAUAUUUAAGGAUACAUAAUGCAAAGAAUUCCUCAAUAUCGAAUAUUCUCAUGGUACCUAUCCCAAUUAAUAUACUCAAGAGUCCGCGAUAGGGGAUAUUUACAAAGUUAUGACAAGAUGUUGCCUAUAUCAACAUUUGAACUAACUUCAGUGGCCAAACCAUAUUGUUUGGAGAUGCUUACAAGUUAUGGUAGAGGACAAUCUUAAAGGAACCCUAACCUAAUUUAUUCGACAACUUUUUUGAACCCAAGUGUCCUGAUGACGAUAUUGGUGGCUUCACCAAAAUUAAUGUCCAAGCCUAACUAGGAAGAAACAAAUUUUGAAGUUAUGGGUGCCAAUGGUAUUAAUAUGCAAGUUGAACUAAUAGUUUAUGCAUAAAUGAGUCGUGGUAAUUGUACAUACGAGUCCCGAAGUUGUUAUAAGACAUUAUGCAUUUGCAGUCAUUAGCAUGAAUUUCUCAAAUAUGUUCAUGAACUAUCAUAUUUGAAUUAGUUACCAUUUGAUAACAAUGGUGACUUCGCACUUGAUUAGCUUUUUCCAUCAAAAGAUGUUGUGUAAAGAAGAAUCAAAGACAACAACAUAAGGGAGUUAAUGGAUUUCAAUGCCAUGGAGUCUAGCACCAAUGUUUAUGCAUGUAAAUGCAUUAAUUAUGGCAAGAAUUGUAGACAGGUAAUUUGGUAGCAUAUAUAUAAAGGAAACUGUAUGGAAAUUUUGCAAAUAUAAUGACCCACAUACUUGCAUUGCAGUAAUGAUAUCGUAUGAUCAUCAAAAGUUGGAUUUCAGUUUUGUCCAUGAUUUUUUCAUUACGUUGGUCGAAGUAGACUCCUUCAUACUUGUUGCCAUUUUGAUUGCAAAGAUUAAAAACAAAUAUCAUUAUUUUAUCUCAUAUAAGAAAACAGGACAAGCAAAUGAAGCGAUUAUAUGAUGAUUGGAAGCAAAUUGCAUAACCAACUGCAUAAUUGGAGAGUUAAAAACAAUUCUCGCAUAGUAUGACAAUAAUUUAGUUUGGGGGUGCACUUUUAUCGUUUAUUUUGGACACUCAGACCAUUAAUGAAGGGUUCAAGUACUACAAACUCAUUGUUUAGGUAGAUAACACAUUCUUACAUAGGAAGCAUAAAGAGAAGUCGUUGGUGGCCAUUUCUUAGGAUAGGGCCUGAGAAGUUAUUUUGCUUACUUUCUCCCUGGUGAAUCAAGAGACAGAGGAGGCAUGCGUAUUCUUUCUAGAAUGUUUGUGAUUAUAUGUGGCUCAAGACAUUGAAGGAUUGUGUUUGAUAUAUGAUCAAGCCUUAUGAAUUAUCGUUGCAAUGCAAAAUCCAGAGAUUAGUUAGAUUGGACCAUUGACACAUUAUGUAUUCUGUAUUUGACAUAUCAACUAGAAUUUUUAUAGGAAGACCAAUGAUAAAGAAGUACGACAACUUGUAAAUGUAAGUAUGUACUACUAGUUUCAUAAAUUAUAAUAUGUUAACUACAAUAUGCUAUUGUUAUAAGAUUGUAAUUGUAGUAUGUUAAACAUGGUAUGGGUUGAUUUGUUUUAAAUUCCACCAAAGGGCGAACCUUAUAAAGACAAAGGAUAACAAAGCGUGAGACUUUAUAAAAAAGCCUUUGGUUCAAGUAGUGGGUACAAUCAUAUGAUGACGGAUGAUGCUAUGGGUAUAUGGCAACCAAUCUUGUAGAAUGGAUAAAUGGGGUGAUGAUGUCCACUUGCCAUUUUCUAGUUAUGAAAUAGUUGAAGCUAGUUAUUGUCACUUUAACAAACUUUGGGUAAUACAAUGGAAGGAAAUUGUUGACUUGAUGGUAAGCGAACAUACCUUUAGCCAGAAUGUUAUGAAGAGACUUGCUGCCAAUGGACAUGAUUCUAAUAACUAUCGUAUUCCUAGAUAUUUCAAUAAGCAUUUCACAUUUCAAGUUGAAGAGACUAAACUCCUAGUACGGGGUUACCACCUGGUUUCUGUAGCGUUGGUUUUUGAAUGGUUGGUGUGAUUGUGGGCUUUUUCUAAGUAGAUAAAUACCCAUGUUUGCAUGUUUAUGCAACAUACAAGAAGUGCAUCUUGAUGUUUUGUGCCAUUUAUUAACAUGUACAGACUUGAUAAUAUUAUGAGGGUAUAAGAGUGUUUGUUUGUACCAUUUCUAAAUUGAGAAUAGAUGUUUACAAACCCAAUACUAUAUAAAAUUUAUCCAAAUUUUGGAAUGUUGUAGACUACCAAAAUGUCAACCUUAGCCUACUUGAAUAUGAAGGAAGAUGGAUAAUGAAAGGAAGGCCAUUGAAAAAGUGCAACUAAUGUCGAAAUGAAGGCCAUGACAAACAUAGAUGUCCAUUGCACACACUAAAGAAAUGAACAUCUUAAGUAGAAUUUGGGGUUUCAACUUCUACUCUCUACACGAUUUUCAUUAUAUUAUUAUUCAAUAUCCAUUCAAUCAUUUAUAUGUUUAUUCAAUUUAAUUUUUAAAAAUUAACAUUCAUCCAAUUCAUAUGUUUACUCAUUCACACAUUAAAUGUUGUACAUCAGUUGUGUGUUUGGAUUUUGUAAUAUUCAAUUCAUUUUUUAAAUUAGCAAUCUUAUAAUUAUAUGUUGAACAUCAUUUAUAUGCUCUGGUUUAAGGAAUACUUAUUCAAUCGUUUUUAUGUUUACUUAAUCGAAUUAUAUGUUAUAGGUAACUUGUAUACAUCAUUUUUUAAAAUUAGAAAUUCCAAUUAUAUGUUUACUCAAAUUAGUUUUGAUUUUACUUAUGGCAUUGCAUCAACCCAAAAUAAAACACAAAAGUAUUAAUACCUUUUUCAUAUUAAACAAAAAAAUUACAUCCAUUUUUUUUAAAAAAUUAAACACUUAAACCUAAACCCUAAAUCUAACGCCAAAUCAAUGGUAUCUCUUUGAAUGUGUUCUCCAUGAUGGUAAAUGUCGAUUGUAUGGUGGCUUGACAAGGUGGAACCACGAGCGGAUUUUCAGUUGGCUUCUCAAUGAAGGUUGGACUCAAAGUGUAUAAACUUUUUGGAAAGAAAUUGAAAAGUUUGGUGUACAUGCCAUAUCGAAGAUUAAUGAUGCAGUUAAGGGAACUAUCUCAAAGUACCCUUUCAAAUUGUUAAGGGGAUUUGUGCUAGUUUGGAUAUUAUGAGACUUCUGGAUAUAGAUGAAAGAUAAUAUAAAUAGGUCAAAAGCUAUAAACGGACGGGUCAGUAGGCUCAUGGAUAACAUGCGCACUCCUUUGAGCUCGGCCUCGCUGCUGCCAACUGAGAUGGCUAUUCCCAAUGGAUGGGUUUGGUUGGGUUGGUUGUGGGACUGACUCAUCAUCAAAUACCACACAUGCUUGCACUUAAGCUCAUUAAUUCGUAUUUCAAUGACUACUUGAUAUUGUAGCGCUCAUGAUAAUUGGAUAUUUGCCAUUGUGAUAAAAGAAUGGUAAUCCACUAGCCUUAAACCAAAGCAUGUAAUGCAUAUCUGUGUUGACCUAGUUCUCCUAGAUCGACUAUCCAGUGAUGAUAAAUUUGUGAUACAUAUGCCAAUAUUCAAUCCACUUUCAGUAUUCAUAAUCUCAAUUUAUUUUCGCCCAACCCCUUAAGUCAUAAUUUAAACUUUCUUCAUAUCCUUUGGUUCCCUUUGAAUUGGUUGCCAUAUGCUAAAUUAAUAUAACAUUCGAUCAUUUUGCUACCAUUCAAUGAUCUAGAAGCGUAUAACAACCAUGUAAGCCCUCCCCAAUCUUUGUUCCUCCUUAACUACGUCCCUUAGGAGCACGACUUGAAGUCUUUGACCUAGUACAGUGUCUACUGAAACAACAAAUAAUCAUUUACAAUUAAUAAAACAAAAAAAGAGAGAUGAUAAUGAGCAAUUCAUUAAUUACUAAAACAAAUUAACAAUUAACCACUUGAUUUACAUAUUUAUCAAUGUUAAUUCAGAUCUAUGCAAACUCUUAAUAAUAGGUGGCGUGCAAAUUCAUUUAAAAUAUAUAAAUAAAUUAAUUUUUAUAGGACACAUUAUAAAAAAUGAUAACCUAAAAUAUGUUUUAAAUAUUAAAUAUAAAUAUCUUUUUACCUUUUGUCUAGUGGAAAAAAAUCAUGGAUGAGAAGGGAUCGACGAUGUAAACGAUAUCCAUAUCCAUACUUGUAAGAGGGUGGAGUAGCCAUUCAAUUCUUUUAUUUUUCAAUUGGUCAUAUUGUUAAGGGCUUGGUAUAGAAAUGGCAAUACCUUGGACCCCUAGCUAGAUGUGUUGGCAGAAGCGAAGUCAUCUAGCAAUGGUAAAUACAUUAAGUGGCAAAGAUUCCUACACUUAUCUACCAUAAGCAAUCUGUAACACCCCCUAGCCCCAACCCGUCCCGGAAGAGAGUUAUGGAGCAUUACCGGAGUUUACAGAAUAAUUACACACAAUUUCAUUUACUUUCUUAUGUUCAUGUCAAAACUGUCUUCUUGAGUAACAGUCACUAAAAUAUUUAUAUCUAGAGCUACGAAACUUAAAAUUAAGUUCCGUUAAUUUUUAUUAAAACUAAACUCAUAUAGCUUUCUACCAUAAAAUUUUCAGAAUUUUUGGUUUAGCCAAUUAGUACAGUUUAUUCCUCAAAGUUACCCCUGAUCUGUUGUUUGACAGUUUCGACAUUUCUUUACUAAAAUUUAAUUAUCUCAUAGCACAGGACUUGGAUGAUGUUGCCGUUUAUUUCUCUUGAAAAUAGACUCAUUAAAUAUUCUAAGCAUAUAAAUUAUAGCCUGUAAUUAUUUUUAUACAAUUUUUAAUGAUUUUCCAAAUUCAGAAUAGGGAAUUCCAAAAUCAAUCUGACAUUAUCUCACAAAAAUUCAAAUUCAUACCAAAUUAGUCAAAUCCUAUUUUAUACCAUAGCCAAAUCUAAAUUUAUUUAUUUCAUCCUUACAUUUACAAUUUCAAAAUGACAUACACAUAAGACAUCCUAGGUACAUGCCAUUACUAAUAAUUAACACACUUUACCUUAAUGAAUUCGGGAUCGGACUGGGAUGCUGAUUCAACGUUCUAUCUUUACUAAACCUGCGCACGGAAACAAACCGUACGCUGAGUAUGGUAUACUCAGUGGUAUUUCUAUAAUCCGAACACUUGAUAAUAUAACAAUUAAACUUAAAAUCACAAUGAUAAAUAUAACCAUUCAUUUAUUUAUUUUAUAGAUAAGUUUCAUUUACUUACCAUAAAAAUUCUAUACAAGCCAUAUAACAAACACAACAACAUAUUUGCUCAAUUCUUUUCAUUUGCUUACUGUAUAAAUUCUUUCAAUAUAUUCACAAUUCACUUGUAUUCACACUUUACUUCUUAACAAUAUACCAUUUUAAUUCAUUCUAACAUCAAUCAUCAUCCAUUUGAACUUCACUCAUUUUAUGAACCUUUUGGUUCAUGUUUUCAAUCUCAUAUCUCAAUUUCAAUUCUCAAUUCAAUUUCUCAUUUCAUUCCAAUAGUUCAAUCAAUCAAAUUCACUCGAUUUAUCUUUUCACUUAUUUACCCUUAUUAACAAACCCGGACUUUGACGGAUACACGGAUUCCAACCCAAAUACACCAGUACGGCACAUUGUGCCUAAAACGGUACACAGUACCUGAUCAGUAUACGACACAUAAAGUGCCUAAAACGACAUACGAGGUGCCUGAUACGACACACAAGGUGCCUGAAAUACGACACAUAAAGUGCCUAAUCGGUAAAGCCGGCAAAUCUCGUACACUUUCAAAUCCUAUGGCAUGCCAAUUAUAUCCGACUUAGCCCGACUAGUUAAUAGGGUAUUUCAUUCACUUUCUCAAUUUAAUAAUUCUUUCAUCAAUAUCUCAUUCAGAUAAUUACAUAUAUUUACCCAUUUUCACAAUUCAUACAAUUUCAUUCAAUUCAACAAUAUAUUUCAAUUAUUCACAUUAAUUCAUAAUUCAAUACAAUUCAAUUCAUUUUUCAAUAUCAAAUAUUCAAAUAUCACAAUCUCAUAUAUUCAUACCAAUUUCCUCAUAUUUCCAAUCAAUAUAUUUUUUAAUAUAACAUUCAUUCAAUAUUCAAAUUUUUACAUAAAUCAUAUAUAUUAUAUAAUUCAAUCAAUAUAAAUUCAAUCAAAAUAAUUUCAAUCAAUAUAAAUUCAAUAAAAUAUAUAUUCAUAAAUCAAUUCAAUAUAAAUUUAUCACACACUAAAUCAAUUCAUUUCAAUUAUAAAGACACAAUACAAAUAAUUCUCAUCUUAAUUAUUUAUAAUAAUAUUUAUCCAAAAUUCAAUUAUCAUAAUUGCAUAAUAUCUCAUUCACACACGCAUAUAUAUAUAUAUAUAUAUAUUUAUAAUAUAUAAUUCAAUUUAAUUCAAUCAAUAUAAAUUCAUCACAUACUAAAUUAAUCCAUUUCCAUUAUAAACACAAUAAUUCUCACUUCAACAUUUAUUAAAUGCAUUGAAUAAAAAAAUAUAACAAUUAAUAACUAGGUUCGGAUUAUAGAAAUACAAACCGUAUUUUCUCGAGCUAACUCCCUUUGUCUUUGCCAUUUUUUUUCCUUGCUUAGCCUAGGUUUCCCGAGACAACAUUAGCUACGGGAAUUAAAACAAUUCAUAUUCGUUAAUUCACUACUAAUUUAUAUCUAAUUAAUACAAUUUUUAUUCAAUUUCUACUUUAAUUUCAAUUUAAUCUUAACUAGAUUCACUUACUUUUUCUAUCUCAAUUCAUACUUCAUUUCUAUUCAAAUUUUGUCCAAACUCAUACUUAACUAUUAAAUUUCCAGCAUAUUUUCAUAAUUUCAAAUUUAUUUCCAUUUAAUCCCUAAAACUCAAAACUUAUAACUUAGUUUACGAUUCAAUCCUUUAUUCAAUUCCAAUCAAAAUUUCUAUCAAAUAAACCCCCAAUUCCAUCAUUUUAUUCAACAUUUCAAAAUUUCUACUUAAAACAAGUAUUAUUUAUCUCUAGGAUUCCAAAAACUCAAAAAUCAUAAGAAAAUGGGCUAAAUUUAACUUGGAACCUUUAAAACAUUAUUUUUCCCUUUUUUGUUUUCUUCCUUUCUCCCUGCUCUGUUUCGUCCCCUGCUAUUCUGUUUCUUUCCUCUUUUUAUUCUUUUGUUUCUUUUAUAUAUAUAUAAUGACAAUAAUAACUAUAAUAAAAAUCUAUUUAAUAACAAAUAUUUAUUGAACACUUGUACCAAUCAUUUUUAUACACUUGUUUUUCUUCUUUGUUUUUUUAUAUAUACAUAUAUUUAAUAAUUUAAUAAUAUACAUAAUUCAAGAAAAAUCUUGAUUUUUCUUCCAGUCACCGCCUCAUUUCAUGGGUAUGGCUUAAUUGCCAUUUUGAUCCUUUUAUUUUCUAUUACUUUAAAACUAAACUUUCACAUUAAAUUCAAUUUAAUCUUUUAUCCAAUUAUCCUUAAUUAAGCUAAAUUUACUUAAUUAAACUUUAAUUAAUCACUCACUUAACUUCAUAAAUAUUUUUACUUUUUUUUAAUAAAUAUUUUCUAAUCCAUUUUUCAGAAACGGUGACCCGAAAAUACACUUUUCUAAUAACCUUAAAGUUCAGGUCGUUACACAAUCCACCAAUGAUGUACAGUUCGUACACUCUAACAUACUGGCUGAACUUUUUAUCACUCAUAUUGGUGGCUAGUAGAUGCUUGACUAACGUAUGCAGUUAGGUGAACUUCACCCACCUUCUCUUGAGGUAAUCGUCUUCAUUUGGAUAAUGAUUGAUUAACACCUCAUUUUUAGCUUAACGUUAAACUCAACCAAACACUACAUCAAAACAGACUUUUAGCGGUGUUUUUAGCGGCGUUUUAAAAGAAAACGUCGGAAAAAAUCAAAUAGAUGGAGUUUUAGCGGCGUUUUUAAAAAAACGCCGCAAUAGAUCGAGCUUUCGCGGCGUUUUUGAAAAAGCGCCGCUAAAGGUCGACCUUUUGCGGCGUUUUACUAAAACGCCGCUAAAAGUUUAAGCAAGACGACGACGUUUUACAUGAGCUUCAUUGGCAGUAGCGGCGUUUUCCCAAAAACACCGUAACAGAUCAAACUUUAGUGGCGUUUUUAAAAAAAAACGCCGCUAGAGGUCCGCCUUUUGCGGCGUUUUCUAAAAUGUUAAACAAAACAACGUCGUUUUACAUGAGCUUCAUUGGCAGUAGCAGCGUUUUCCCAAAAACGCCGUAACAGAUCAAACUUUAGUGGCGUUUUUAAAAAAAUGACGCUAGGGGUCCGUCUUUUGCGGCAUUUUUGGAAAAACGCCGCUAAAAUAUUAAACAAAACGACGUCGUUUUAUGUGAGCUUCAAUGACAUUAGCGGCGCUUUCCUAAAAACGCCGCAAUAGCUCGCACUUUAGCAGUAUUUGUGUAAAAAACGCCGCUAUAGGUCGCAUAAUUAGCGGCUUUUUUUUGUAAACGCCGCUAAUAGGUUAAGGCAAACGACGUCGUUUUAAAUUAGGUUCAAUGGCAUUAGCGGCGCUUUACUUAAAACGCGGCAAUAUAUCAAUCUUUAACGGCGUUUUUACAAAAACGCCGCUAAAACAUUAAGCAGGACGACGUCGUUUUGUUUGGACUUCAAUGGCAUUAGUGGCGUUUCUCGAAAAACGCCACUAGAGUUUAUGGGGCAGACACAUUUUCUUUCUUUAACAAAGUAAAACACAACAAAAUCAUUACAUUUUUGAGUUCUUUAUUACUUAAUAUUAGGUGUUUAUGGGUGCUAAAUAUAAUAUUUGUUUAAAUAUAAUAUCAUAUAUUUUAUAUUUGUUUGAAUUUAUUUUUAGUGGGGCUUAAAAUAUAGGUUUAACAUUUUGUUAAAGCCCACUAAUACUUGCAAAUGAUUAACCUAAGUCUAUUUUAAGUCCAAUCAUAUUAUAUUUUUAAUUUUUGUAAAAUUAUGUCAUUUUAAUUUAAUAUUUUUUAUUUAUUUAAUUUCUUUAUAUAGUUAUCUUAAUAUUAUUUUAAUGUUUAUAUUAGACUACUAUAUAUUAUACAUUUAGUAUAAAUUUAAUUUUUUAUAAAUUAUAAAAUUACAUAGUAUAUAUAUAAAAUAUCAUGAAGUUGAAAACGGAUUAGACCAAACUCAGGUAUUAAAUGUUUUAGUCUAACUUAUUUUUUAAAUGAAUUUAAAAUUUUCUAUUUAAACUGAUUUUUAAAUUUAAUAUUUUUAUAGGUUUAAGGGAUAGAUGUUGGGGUUAGGGGUUAUGUGUAAUAUCCUGAAUUAGGGCUUAAUCGAAAUAGUGGUUUCGUGACCACAAAUCUGAGAUAGAAAUAAUUAUUUUAUAAUUAUUUUGAUGAAUAUGAUAUGGUUGCAUGAUUGUGUGAAAAUUUCGUGAUGAAAUUCUAUGCCUAAAGUGCUUAAAUUGAAAGUAGGGACUAAAUCGAAUAAGUUGCAAAAUUUGCAUUCUAGAAGUUUUUAGUAUGAAAUUGCAUUGAAAUAUUAAUUAGGAGGUCUUAAAUAGCAAUUUGACCAAUUUCUAAGUCUAUGGACAAAAAUUGGACAUGGAUGAAAUUUUUGGAAAGUUUAGUAGUAAGGGCAUUUUGGUCAUUUAGUUAUUAAAAUGAAUUAAAAACAAAAUUAAAAGCCAAUUUUUGUCCAUCUUCUUCAUUAGGCCGAAAUUUCAAGGGUUCUCCAUAGUUAGGGUUUGUUUCAAGCUUCCAAGCUCCAUAGUAAGUGAUUCCAAGCCCCGUUUUUAAUGUUCUUUACGUUUUUGGAAUCCCGGUAGCUCGAUUAAGCUUAUGCUAGCAAUAAUUCAACCUAGGGUUUAUAUUUGGAAAAAUACCCAUAGGUGAAAUUUGAUUUUGAUGAUUUUGAUGAUGUUGCUAUGAUGAUGGAAGUUGUGUCAUAUGUGUAUGUAUAAGAAAGUCGAGUCAGAGGUCCUACAACCCCUCCCCCUUACCGAAGUGGUACUUAUAAUGGAAUUUCAUGAGAUUUGUAUUGAAUAAGUUUCCGGUUGAGAACCCAAAGAGUUCAGUGAUAGAAUAAUUAUAGAUAUGACCAGAGUCUGAGAAUGGUUGACAAGUGAAGGACAAAGUUAGAGAAAUAUCAGAGUUUACUAAGUUAUCUUGGGAUUCAAAUUGAUGACAGAGUGUUUCUGAAAGUAUCGUCUUGAAAAAAAUUAGUUAGUAAUACUGGAAAUUAUGAGAAAGAUACUAAACCUCACUCUGGUAAGAUUUUCGAGGACAAAAAUCUCUGAAGGGGGGAGAGUUGUAAUAGCCCAAAAUUGGGUCUAGUUGGAACAGAGGUUUCGGGACCACAAAAUCUGAGAUAUAAAUAAUUAUUUUAGGAUUAUUUUGAGGUCUAUGAUAUGAUUGCAUGAUUGUGUGAAAAUUUCGUGAAGAAAUUCUAUGCAUAAAGUGCUUAAAUUGAAAUUAGGGACUAAAUCGAAUAAUUUGUAAAACUUGCAUUCUAGAAGUUUCUAGUAUGAAAUUGUUUUGAAAUAUUAAUUUGGAGGUCUUAAAUAGAAAUUUUACCAAUUUCUAAGUCUGUGGACAAAAAUUGGACAUGGAUGGAAUUUUUGGAAAGUUUAGUAGUAAGGGCAUUUUGGUCAUUUAAGGGGUAAAAUGAAUUAAAAUACAAAAUUAAAAGCCAAUUUUGCUCAUCUUCAACCCCAUGGCCGAAUAUAGCAAGGAGAAACCAUGGCUAGGGUUUUUCAAGCUUCCCAAGCUCAAUUGUAAGUCCGUUCUAACCCCGUUUUUAAAAUUCUUUACGUUUUUGGAGUCCCGGUAGCUCGAUUUAGCUUAUGCUAGCAAUAAUUCAACCUAGGGUUCAUAUUUGGAAAAAUACCCAUAGGUAAAAUUUUUGUAUUCUGGUGUUUUAUGAUACAAUAUGAGGUUUUAAAUUAUGUUAGACAACUUGUGCUACUCGGUUUUAAGUGAAAACGAGCAAAAGGGCUUAAUUGGUAAAAAUACCUAAUAGUCAUAAGUAUAUGUUAGAGUGAGAAUUUGAUGUUGCCAUAGAAGGGAAAAAUGAUCAGCAUGUCAUAAAACAUAAGAAAAUAGGCUGAAGUUUAAUUUACGAGCUUUGGGGUAAAAGUGUAAAUAUGCAAAAGUUUAGGGGCAAAAUUGUAAUUUUGCCAAAAUAUGAUUUUAGGUCAAUUUGAAUAAUGUGAGUCCUAAUUAGACUAUAUUUUAAAUGAUAGAGCAAGGAAAACUAAAAUUCGGGCUAAAAUGGUGAAAAUACCAAGUUGUGGACGAAAUGGUAAAAGUAGCCAUUUUCGCAUACGAGGUAAGUUCAUGUGUAAAUAAUGUAGCAUAAAUGUUAUUUUUAAGUUAUUAAUGUUAAUUAUAUGAUAUGCUAAUUUUUAAUCGUGAAAUAUUAUGCUUUGUGGUUAAUAUUGAGUAAUAUGCAAAUUAUGUUUACUACUUGAUAAAUAUGAAUUGCUACCGAGUAUCGGUUCCGAUAUUCCAUGGAAGACGACAAAUGUGAGAUCAAGGGAAAAAUCCCGUUUGAACCUUAGGAAUAGAUUAGGAUACAAGUGACAUGUCACUAGGAUGGUUGAGCAUCCAAACUCGUUGAGUUGAGUCCGAGUUCACCUAUGGAUGCGAAUGUCCGAACUCGUUGAGUUGAGUCCGAGUUCGUGAAAUGUAACUAGGCAUUCAAACUCGUUGAGUUGAGUCCGAGUUCACUUAUAGAUGCGAACACCCGAGCUCGUUGAGUUGAGUCCGAGUUCACUUAUGGGCGGGUUACAUGGUAGCUUGGCUACAUAUGUGGCACUUAUGUGCAAACUUUCCAUGUAUCCGAAUUAUAUUCCGAUGUGUUCAACGGGUAAAAUUCUACUCAAAUGGAGGAAUACUCGAGAUGAAAGGGAUGUAUUGGUACGUGUUGUGAAAUGAAUACUUUGAACAGGUAUGUACUUAACCCUCGGGUUGAAAACUCGAUAUAACAACAAUAUGGUAAGAUGAUAAAUGAAAAUGUGAUAUGAAUGUCUCGGUGAUGAUUAUGCAAAUGAUGUUUUAUGUUUGCUUAUAUAGUUGUGUUACUUGCUAUUUGCAUGUGAGCUUACUAAGCAUUUAUGCUUACUUCCUCCUUUUCAUUCCUUGUAGUGUUGACAAGCCAACUCGGAAAUCGGGAACGGUCGGAGGCAUGCUCACACUAUAUCCGUAUACCAUCUUGGCAUAAUGGCUUGCAUAUUUUGAGUAUGGCAUGUAUAGCAUUAUAAUCAUUUUGUAUAUAUGGUCUUAUGAUAUGGUUAUUGAGUGGUACGGAAAUGCUUGGUAAUGAUUAGCCAUUGGAAUGGCUAAUCAUGAUCAUAUUUGGUGUUAUGUAUGCUAAAUUACUAGCUAAUCCAUGGAAAACAUGAAAUAGGUAAAAUUUACCAUAAAAUAGAUUCAGACAGCAGCAGUGACGUGAGUUUGAAAAAUCAUUAAAAAUUGUAGAGAUACAAUUAGAUGGUGAAUAAAAUAUGGAAUUGAAGAAUUAUGAGUCUAUUUUCAUAUGGAUGGAACAAAACAGGUAUAUGAGUUAUAUUUUAUGAGAUGUUUAAAUUUUUGUGAAACAGGGCCAGAGCGAUUUCUGGAUCCCCUGUUCUGACUUUGGAAAUUCACCAAAAAUUGUUCAAAGAUAAUUAGAAGUCAUUAUUUAUAUGUACAGAUUCCUUAUUGAGUCUAGUUUUAUUAGAAACAAACGGCAUAGUCAUUGAAACUCUGUACAGCGAGAUAUCUGAUUCGUAAUACACAGAGGUCAGAGCAGUCAGACCCUGAAAUAGGGGAGACUUUAACUAAUAAAAUAUACUAAUUGGCUUGACCAAAAAUUCUAUAAAAAAAUUAGUAGAUAGAUAUAUGAGUCUAGUUUCAUAGAAAAUUUACGGAAUUGGAUUUCGAGUUUCGUAACUUGAGAUAUGAAUUUUUAAGCGACUAUGAUGCAGAUUGUUAGCUUGACUGAAAAUUUUAAAAAUAAAUUGUUUGAGCUGUUUAAGUAAUGAAUUAAGUCUGUUAAUACCUCGUGUUCGACUCCGGCGAUGGUCUCGGGUAUGGGGCGUUACAUUUGGAGUUGUAAUAUCCUGAAUUAGGGCUUAAUCGGAAUAGUGGUUUCGUGACCACAAAUCCGAGAUAGAAAUAAUUAUUUUAUAAUUAUUUUGAUGAAUAUGAUAUGAUUGCAUGAUUGUGUGAAAAUUUCGUGAUGAAAUUCUAUUCCUAAAGUGCUUAAAUUAAAAGUAGGGACUAAAUCGAAUAAGUUGCAAAAUUUGCAUUCUAGAAGUUUUUUUUUGCAACUUAUUCGAUUUAGUCCCUAAUUUCAAUUUAAGCACUUUAGGCAUAGAAUUUCAUCACGAAAUUUUCACACAAUCAUGCAAUCAUAUCAUAUUCAUCAAAAUAAUUAUAAAAUAAUUAUUUCUAUCUCGGAUUUGUGGACACGAAACCACUAUUCCGAUUAAGCCCUAAUUCAGGAUAUUACAUUAUGGUUUAUGAUUUAUACUUUAAGGGUUAAUUAGGGUUUAGGGUCUAGAGUUUGGGGUUUAAGGUUUAUAAUUUAGGGUUUAUGGUAUAGGGUCAAGGUCUUAGCACUGUUCAAGGAUUUAGGGGUAAUGUUGUCAGGGUUUAAUGUUAUGGUUUUAGCUGGUAAGCAAUAAUAUUUUAUUUUUAGCGUUUUAGGAUUUUAGGGUUUAGGGUUUAGGGUUAUGUUUAGUGUUUAAGGGUUAGCAGGUUUAAGAGUAUACAUAUUUAAUAUUUAAAGGGUAUACUGGGUUAGGGAGAUUUAGGGUUUAGGGUUUAGGGACUGUGUUUUGUGGUUUAUGGUAUGGGGCUUAUGGUUUGGGGUUUGGGGUUUGGGGUUUAGUGUUUAGUGUUUAAUUUUGGAAUUAAAAACUUAAAAAGUUAAAAUUUAAUAUUUUAGUUACAAAGUUAAAUAAAAAAAUAUAAAAAAUGAUAAUUUUAGCAGGAAAAUUUGAAAUAAAAAAGCAUAAAAAAUAUGUUAAAAAUGAAAAAAAAAUUAAAAUUGUGAAUUAGUGGCGUUUUUUCAAAAACGCCACAAAAAAUGAGCUAUAGUGGCGUUUAUAAUAAAAAACGCCACUAAAAGUUAACCUAUACCGGCAUUUUAAAUAAAAACGCCGAAAAUAUUUGAGUUUUAAUAGGUUAAACGGCGUCGUUUUUCUUUCUUCUCUUUAUCCCCAAGUUAAGCCCCGAUACUUAGUAUUUUUUCCCAAAACAAAAUUUCCCCUAUACCCUCAGUUUCCCCAAAUCAAACCCUAAGUUGCUUUCCUCCAUAUUUCACCGAUUGAAGGCUUGAGCUUGGUGUUUCUUCUCAAUCGAUCUUCAUCCCCUUUUUUUAACUCUCUUUCUCUCUCAAAUCCUCAAUUCCACUUCACUCUCCAGAUCUCCACAGGUAAUAUUCAAACCUUUCUUACGUUUUUUUUCUAUUAUUCUUUAAAUUUAUCAUCUUUUCAGUUUGCACUUCUUUCUCGUUUGUAUUUCAUCUUAAAAUUUGAAAUUGUUGUAGAAAUUCAUUAUCAAUAAAUUGUCAAAAUUUAUGACUAUUUUAACACAGACCAAUCUGACGAGCCUUCGUUGUGCUGCUGAACAAUCUGCUUGUUGUCUACGGCAAUAUAAAUCGUAAGUGUUGCUUUAAAUCCUAAUUGAUGCGCAGUUAUUUGGUUUCUGAAGUUCUAUUAACACUCCUAAUCCUGUUACUUUCAUUUAUUUUCAUGGGGAGUGGUGGUUUUUUUUUCCUUCACUGGCAAACAGAAGGUCAGGUAACUUUAAUUUCUAAGUCUCUGUUUACAAAUACAAAUACAUAAGCUUAUGUUCAUUGUUGAACGUAUGGCGUUCCAUAAAGGUUAGGCUGAUUGGAUGGUGCUCUAGGUUUCCUUGCUUAAAUAUUUUGUUUCUUUUAAUGGUAUUGAGCUUUGUCCUAUUUCUUCUCACAAUGGUCUUCAUUAGGGUGACCUGAUUUCAUUGUAUUUGUUUAUUUUGUGCACAAAGGGCUUUAGCUAUUGGUUGCGAAAACUCAUGAGUAGAGGCAAUUUGCAUGGUAUCAAUAUAGGAUGGAUUAGUAAUGAUUAAAUUAAUAAUAGAUUGAUGAGGAAAAUAUAGUUAUUUUCAUGUGAUCAUCCUUGGGGAAAUUAAUAAUUGUCUUUGUUGAUAUAUAUAUAUAAGGGGUAAGUUGGUGAUUAAGCUUAGAUAAAUUUAUAUCAUAUUAGUUGAAUUGAUUAUGGUAACAUUUGUUAUAAAAUAAUAAUACUUGAUUUUAUGGAAGGUAAAAAAACUUUGGUGAAUUAAAGUAUAUAUAUAUUACUUACUUAUGACUUGGUGAUUUAUUGAGUUAAAACUUAUCGUUAUAUUUAUAUUGUGCUCUCAUAAUUUGAUUUCAAUUAUGCUUUAAUAGACCGUUAAAAAUAAUCAAAUGAUAAUGAUGUCGAACAUAACUUAAGGUACAUAUAUACUUGACUACUUGAUUUCUAUUGAAAUAUGUCAAAAUAUAUAUACAUUUGUGACUGUGAAAAUCGUAUUAUAAUAAUGUUAUACUAUCUUAUUUAUAAUAUGUUAUGAAAAUUGUAUUAUAAUAUACUUUGGUUAGAUAUGGAGCUAUAAAAUUUCUUUUGUUGAGUUUUAAUGCUUGAGUAAUGAAUAAGUAUGCAUGGUUAUAAGUAUUAAGCCAUUUAAUCAACUACACUAGGUUGAGUUGACUUGAUUGCUAAGUUGUCUGGAUAUUUUAUUAUAUAAUUGUUUGUUAAACUGAUGCAUAUGAAAAUACUAUAAAAUUUGCUUAAUUUUGCAUAAAUUGAUUGGUGUUCGAAUGCAUUUAAAUGUUCAUUUUAGUUAAUAUCACAUUAGUGUUUUGUCAAAACAUAAUGAUUAUGUCUCGAGAUCCUAAGAACAAAAAUAAUCAAAUUGUACAUUUCUGGGUACAAGUCUCUAGACUUACCAAGCAAGCCUUAAGAUAAUCAUGAUCGGAGUCUUGAGACACAAAAGUUUGUGUCUCAAGACUGUAAAACAUCGAAACUAAAAUUAUUUUUGAUUUUUCAAAAAAUUGUAUUAUCUUUGAAAUUACUACUGCUCUCAAUCAUGGAAGAUACUUGGGCUUACUGUUACUUACUAAGCAUAAUAUUAGAAGCUUUAAUUUUUUGUCUGAGUGUUCACUUUUUUCUUAGUCCAAAUCUUAGUCUACACAUUUGCAGGGUAAGUAGUUUCAGUCAUGGCUUUAUCUCGUCGUCUUUGCUUGCCAUUCUUAUGGUUUCUCCUCCUGUGCUUGAUUUUGCUGAUUCAUUUACAAUCUAAACAUGUUUAGUUAACAAGAAUUUUAAUCAUCACUUUAUACAAGUAAAGACUAAUUUAAUAAUUUUUAUAAUUAAAAUUUGUUUAUUAUAAAAUUCUGUUGUUACGAUUGAAAAGUUCUUAGAUAUUAUUAUUUAUUAUUUUAAUUAACUAUGAAUAAAUCGUAUAUAUACAGUGAAUAUUAAUUGAAGUUCAUUUGUAUAUAUGAUUAGACUUCUGUUCUUCAAAUGCAAUGAGUAGGGAAGUCUCUCGACAUUAUUAGAGAUCAAUCCCAAGCAUCUCCAAAUAAACCCUCAAGAAAACAUUUCCAAUUCAAUCAAGGUAAACAUUGUCUUCCCUAAUAUUUAUGUUUCUUUCAACAUGUUUUUCCUUUUAUGUUUUUAAUGUUUAUGAUGAAAGAUUCAACAUCUCUAGAAACUGAAUCAUGCAUUCACCUUUAACAUGAGGUUUUAGAAAGUUUAAGACUUGAUUCAUCAAAUUGGUUGAACCAUGUUUAAAAUUUAAACAUGAUUUAUUAUUUCAGUUAAAACUUAAUUCAUCAAAUUAAGUUAAAACUUUUUAUUUUUCCGACUUUUCAAUUGAAACAAAGUAAGAAGUGGUAUGGUAGCUUCUAAAAAGUUAAGUGAUUCACAAGGUGGCUGUUAAUUGUACAUGUGAAAAAUCCAAACUAUGUUUAUGAUGUUUUUUUUUUCUAAUAAUAGUGUUUGAACUCAUAUUAUUUUUGCAAAAAGUGAAUAUUCGAUUAAUAGGUCAUAAUUUAAGAUUUAUAUUUAUGAUAUGUUUAUUGAUCAUAAUUUUUUAUUAUUAUGUUCAAUUAGCUAUUUGAAUAUGACGUUUUGAUCAAAACUAGUACAUGGACUCAGAUCCAUGGUUCAAAUAAGUCACUUACCUUUUAAGUACUAAAUUGGACAAAAAUCUAAAUUCAUGUGUUAGGUUCAUGGUUCAAAUAAGUCAUUUACCUUUAAGUACUUAUUUGGAAAAAAAAUCUAAAUUCAAGUGUUGAUUACUUAAUUGGACCAAAAUAAAAUUUUAAGUACGAAGUUGAACUUUAUUAAAGCUAAGUUAAAGUUCCAAGGGAUGAAUUUGAACUUUGAAACAAAUUCAGGUACUGAAAUUUUACAUUAACAUAACCUAGCACAUGAUUUCCAAACUUGUAAUUUCAUUCCAAAUGUUGACAGCAAGCUCUUAACUUUUUGCUUUAUUAUUGCAACAAAAAGAAAAGCUGAACGAGAGAAUGAAUUGCUAUAAAUAUUCAAUUAGCAAACUAUUGUAAACACUUUAUAAUAUGUUUUUAUUGAUAUUUGUCAUUGUAUAUUGAAAAUAUGAGUAAAUUUAUCAUUCAACUCUUAUGUGAUUGAAUUUAUACUAAACUUUGAAUUUUAUUAUAUUUUGCCAGCAACUUUAAAUUUUUAAUUAAAUUUUAUCACUCAAUAUUAAUUUUAAUGAUUUGAAAACAUAAUUUAAUUACAAAAAAUCUUUCAAAUAUUAUGUUUUAAAAGUUAUCAACAAUUUAACUUAUAAAUAUUAAAAUUUUAAUAAAUUAAAUUAGAAAUUAUAUUUAAUGAAUAAAAACUUGAAAAAUAAAAAUACAUGUAUCAAAAAAAAGUUUAUUUUAAAAAAAUCACCAUUUUUAUUUAACUUUAAUAUUAUAUUAAUUAACUUAUUAUUUUUAAAUACUGAAUUAAAAUAUAUAAAAAUAUUUUUAUUAAAUUUUGUUUUCAAAUUAAUUUAAGGUUUAAUUUAUGAUUUGGCUCGUGAAAGCGUAUAUAUUUUCCAACUUUUAUAUUUUAAUUUUUUUUAAGUAUCUAAAGUAUUUAUUAUGAUUAUUAUUUUUAAUCACUAUUAUUAAAUGUAUUUUAUUAAUUUAAUAUAAAUAUAUUUUAUAUUUAUUAUGACUGUUGCAUGUUGCUUGAUUUAUUUUUUAUUUGAUUCAACUUAAGUAUGAAUAAGUAUGAAUUAAUUUUAUUACCAUGUAGCUUGCUUGUCCAUUAAAAUUACAACAAUAGCUGACCUUCUCUCCAACCUUAUUUUAAAUAUUUCAAAGAUUCAAAGUAUAUAGGCUGGAAACCUGACGGGUUGCCUUAUAUCGAGCUGUAAGAUAUAAUGGAUCCUCCCUAGGUGUAACAACGCCACGUAUGAUGAACCUUAAAAAAUUACAUAACUUACAUAACUCAUAUAACUUACAUAAUUUACAUAACAACUUACAUAACUCACAUAACUUACAUAAUUUACAUAACUCACAUAACGUACAUAACAACUUACAUAACUUAACUAAUACAUGUUGAUGUGAUCCGGCUCAGUUGAUUGAGUCGAUUCACUUGAUUGCCCGAUCGUCGACGAGAAGUUUGUUCGAUUUUGUAGAUAGAUGGAGUUAGAUGAUUUUUUUAUAGCGGAAGUUGAGAAAAUGGGUUCAAAAGAUGGUUUGGAUAGAUGUUUGAUAGGCUCGGUGAAAUAAAGAAAUAUUGUUUAUAAUUUAAUAGUUAAAAUGGAAUGGAAAAAUAGAACUCAAGUGAAGAACGAUUCAAUACUAUAUGAAGUAUUGCCCCGGGACUUAUAUUGCUCAAGGUGGAUUAAAUGGAUUGUCGAAGAUGGACCUUGACCCGUUACGAUGAUACGACCAUGCCCCGGGCACACUUUUGGAUCAGCUCCCUAAGCAUUGUUUGCAAAUCCAUGCGAGCUGAAUUAGUUCAAUUUCAUUUCGUUAAGCUCCGUUUAGCUCGUUUCCAGCUUACUCGAGCUCAAGUCAGCUCACUCAAGCUCAAUUUAGCUCAAUUUUAACCCAAUGAGCUUAUUUUUAGCUUUCUUUAGCUUGCAUUUAUUUUGCUGAAAUAAACCAUUUAAUUUGUCAUUAGUUAAAUUAGUUGUUUAUCUUAAGUUAGUUAAUUUGUUAAAAUCUGGACAAAUAAUUAAUUAAGUAUUCCCCAAGUGCAAGAUGAAGCUCAAUCUCAGCUCAACAAGCUCAAUCUUAGUUUUUCCCAGCUCGAUUUAGCUCACAUGACAUGUAGUUUAAUCUAAUAAUUUCCUUAAAAGCAUAUAGUUUAAAGUUCAAAUUUCAUAACUUACAUAAUCUACAUAACUUACAUAAAACAUAAAUAUAUAUCAUAUCAAGAGUUACAUAAUAAACAAUUUACCCGUGUAACUUAUUGCCAACUUUAGACUUCAACAACUACGAAAUGGAUAGGACUUGGAUGAAUUUCUCAAGGGCAAGCAACGAGUAUCAAAAUGGAGUGCAAUCUUUUUUAGAUUUUGCAUUUCACAAUUCAAGCCAAGAGAAUAUGAUUCUUUGCCCGUGUAAGAAGUGUGGCAAUAUCUAUUGGCAUUAUCGUGAAGUUGUCUACGAACAUCUAAUUGUUGAUGGCUUCAUUCGGGGGUAUAAAAAAUAGAUUUUCCAUGGAGAGUGUACACCUAGUGGAGCCUCUUCGACGAUUAAUCCGGGUUAUCCUUAUAGUGGUUACCGUCAGUAUGUUAGAGAAGAUGACAUGAAAGGUAUGAUGCGAGAUGCAUUUAAUAUGCGGAGUGAAGGUUUCCAAUCAUUUCCACCAAACUAUGUUGCAUCCGAUGAUUAUAAUAUCGGUGGAAAUACUUUUAUAGAAACGAGAAGAAGUGUACCGGAUGAACAACCGAAUGAAGAAGCGGCGAAGUUCUACACGUUACUUGGUGAAAUGAAUGAAGAACUUUAUGAGGGAUCAAAAUUUUCGAAAAUGUCAUUCUGUAUUCACCUUUUCCACUUAAAAUGUUUGGGAGGGUGGACCGGAAACUCUUUGACAAUGCUGUUAGAGCUUUUGAGAGAAAUGUUCCCGUUUGCAAAAAUCCCUCAAUCAUGUAAAGACAUGAAGAAAGUGUAAAAGAUUUGGGGCUUGGGUACAACAAAAUUCAUAAUUGCCCAAAUGAUUGCAUGUUGUAUUGGGGUGAUCGAAGAAAUCAACAGUCUUGUCAUGUUUGCGGUAAAUCUCGUUGGAUGAAUAGAGAUGCAAAAGAUGUUAAUGAGGAUGAAUAUGGGCCACAGUCAAUAAGGAAGCCGAACAAGAUUUUGCGAUAUUUCCCACUAAUCCCAAGGCUUCAAAGGCUAUUCAUGUCGUCAAAGACAGUCGAGUUUAUGACGUGGCAUCAUGAUCAACGAACGGAUGAUGGAUUAUUAAGGCAUCCUGCAGAUUCUUUAGCUUGGAAAUCAUUUGACAAUAAAUUUCCAAGCUUUGCAAGUGAUCCUCGGAGUGUAAGGAUCGGGUUAGCAUCUGACGGAUUUAAUCCUUUUAAAAUCAUGAGCACCUCGUACAGUACUUGGCCUGUGGUCCUUGUUCCUUAUAAUUUGCCUCCAUGGCUCUGCAUGAAGCAAUCUUCUUUGAUAUUAUCUAUGAUUAUCCCGUGAGUGAAAGGCCUCGGAAAUGAUAUUGACAUAUAUCUGCAGCCACUUAUUGAAGAGUUAAAACAAUUAUGGGCUGGUGUUGAGACGUAUGAUGUAUUGAGAAAGGAGAACUUUUACCUACGUGCUGCUUUGCUGUGGACAAUUAAUGAUUUCCCGGCAUAUGCGAAUUUAUCUGGUUGGAGUACCAGAGGACAUUAUGCUUGUCCUUGUUGUGCUGCUCAAACGUGUUCACAGUGGUUAUAUAAUGGGAAGAAGUUCUGCUAUAUGGGGCAUCGUCGGUGGUUAGAUGAAAAUCAUAGCUAUAGAUUUUAGAGGGCUUUAUUUGACGGUACUGAAAAGUUGAAAAAAGCUUCUGAGUAGACCAUUGGAUCUGAAAUCUUAUUCAUGUUAAAAGAUAUGGAUUUCAGUUACGGGAAGCUGAAUCAACCAUUUAACAGGCAAACAAAUAGACGAUCGAGGGAUGAAUCUGAUGAUGAAUCUGACGAGGAGGAUACCUUAAUGAGGCGGACUUGUGGAAGAAAAGAAGUAUUUUUUUGAGUUGCCUUAUUGGGAGCAUCACAUAUUACACCACAAUUUUGAUGUGAUGCAUAUUGAAAAGAAUGUCUGCGAGAACAUCAUCCAGACAAUUUUGAACGUCGAUGGUAAAUCAAAAGAUAAUCUUCAGAGUUGACUUGAUUUAGUUCACAUGGGAAUUAGGCGUGAUCUUCAUCCCCAAGUAUGUCCUAAUGGAAAAUAUUGGUUGCCGCCUACAAUUUUUGCAAUGUCAAAGGAAGAGAAAGAAAUGUUCUGCACGGUGUGGAAGGAUAUAAAGGUUCCGAAUGCGUAUGCAUCAAAUAUAUCUCGAUGUGUAAGUCUUAAAGAUCGAAGACUAUAUUCAUUAAAAUCACAUGACUAUCACACCUUGAUGCAAGAUCUACUUCCAGUUGCUUUACGGUGUUGUAUGUCAAAGAAGGUAAUGUCCUGUAUAAUUGAACUGUCCAAUAUAAUGAAAGCAAUUUGUGGCAAAGUUCUGAAUGUUGAAGAACUUGAAAAAGUACAAGAUCGAGCCACUUUGACAUUAUGCAAUUUGGAGAAGAUCUUUCCACUUUCCUUCUUCACAAUUAUGGUGCACCUUGUCAUUUAUCUCCCUCGUGAAGCAAUAAUUGGUGGGCCGGUUUUCUAUCGUUGGAUGUAUCCACUUGAAAUGUGCUAAUUUAUUUCAAAGGCAUUCCACCUUUAUACCUAUAGUUACCAGUUUUGAUAAUGUUGUAUAUGGUGUUUAGGUUCUUAAGCAAAUUGAAGUCUUAUUGCCGUAAUAAGCGUUAUCCGGAAGGGUCGAUUGCUGAAGGCUACUUGGCAGAGGAGUGUAUGACAUUCUGUUCUAGAUAUUUAGAAGAUGUUGAAACAAGAUUGAAUAGACCAAGUAGAAAUGCCGGACUCAAUGAUCCUAGUUUGCCCGAAACUUAUUUAUUUCAAAGUUAUGGAGAACCAAUCGGCAAAGUUGAAAUUGCAGAAUUAGAUGACUGAUCUUGGAUACAAGCACAUAGAUAUGUUCUUUUCCACCACAAUGCACUUGAACAAUUACGCAAGUAAGUUCUAGAAUAUGAUAAAUAUUCAUCUUUUUUUUUGAUUUUAUUAUUUUUUAACGAAUUAAACAUUUUUUUAACAUAGUGAGUACAAACAAGUCUUAAGAUCUCGUUCACGCUCACGAAGAUUACAACAUCGUGAGAUUAAUAGGUUAUUCGCAGAAUCUUUUCAUGAAUGGUUAAGCCAAACGGUAUGCAACUCAACAUUUUAUUGACAAAUAAUAAUGUUUUCUCAUAACAUUUACAAUUACUCAAUUUACUUUUGAUUCAAUAGGUUUGGAGUGGGAAUGUCAUUAAUGACGAAGUUAAAUGGCUUUCUCAAGGUCCGAAUCGAGUAGUAAAAAGAUAUAAUGGCUUCAUCAUGAAUGGAUUCAGAUUUCAUACCAAAUAUCGCGAGAGAUUGAGGAGAACUCAAAAUUGUGGAGUAGUUGUUAAUUCUUUAAUUACAAGUUACGCUAGUGCUAGGGACAGUAAUCCUGUCGAGGGAAAUGUGGAGUAUUACGGACUUCUAACCGACAUUAUUGAGUUGGAUUACUAUGAAAAAUGGAAAGUUAUCUUAUUUCGAUGUGAUUGGGCUGAUGCUAAUACUGCUCGCGGAAUUAAAAAUGAUCAGUUUGGUUUUACAAUGGUGAAUUUCUCUCGAUUAAUUCACAUUGGAGAACAUUUGAUAGACGAGCCGUAUGUAUUUUCUUCUCAAGUUAAACAAGUUUUUUACUCGAAAGAUCCAAUUGAUGAGGGUUGGUACGUUGUACUCCGAAACACCCCUAGAGACUUAUUUGACAUGGGGAAUGGAAGUAGAGAUGACAUCGUUGAAAGAUCAGAAACUUUGCCUUUUCCAGAACAAAACUUAAAUGAAAAUAUCCCUAGUACUAGUACACAAUUUCAAUGGGUUCGUCAGGAUGUGGACGAAGAUAUCUACGAUUUAUGAUGUAGUAAGAUUUUAUGAUUUUUUAUUUAUAUGUAAUGUUAUAAUUUUAACAUUGGUCAUGUUAUAUAAUUUAACUAUUUUAUAUUUACUAUUGUUGUUAUUUCUUACUAAAAUUUUAACUAUUUUAUGUGUUGCAGGAAAAAUGCCUAGAAGAAGAUUAAGAGAUCUUAGUAUUGUACAGAAUACUACAAAUUCGGAAGAAGUAAGUACUGAACAGCAGACAGUUGUUGGAUCUUCAAGCGUGCCGGAGACACUUGACGAGUUUGUGGAAUUUCAAAGUAAUGUUAAGUUUAUUUUACAAAUUGUAUUAAAUUUUAUUACUGAUUUAUUUUUAAAUUUCAAUAUAGUAAUAAUAUAUUAUUUUUCAACUGAAAAUGGUCGGACGCGCAGAGGUCGAGGACAUACGCUCCUAAUAGAUUUAUAUAACUUAAAUUCUGUCGAGCGUGUCAAAGUAACUAAAAACAGCCAUGGUCAGCCUGUUGGACAAGAAGCUUGACUUUUAGCAGGCUAUUUGGGCAUUAUAGCACGAAAUGCCAAUAUGUUGCCCAUCAACUACGAAUCAUGGCAUAACAUGCCUGAUAGCAAUAAAAAUCAAGCUCUCUCUAAUGUUAAGGUAACAAAACGUUAAUGUAAUUUAUAAUACUUUGGUUUAAGUUUCAUUUAUAUUUACUUCCUAAACUUGUGUUUUUUAGGAGAGGUUUGCUUUAGAGGUCUCUGAUGCCUAUAUCAAGAAGGCAUUGGGUAAAAAAUGGAGAGACCAUAAAAGCAUUUUUAAAAAAGAAUAUUUUAAAAAACCCAUAAACCUCGAAGAAAAAUUGCAAAAUGUCCCACCGGGAAUGCUGAGGUACCAAUGGGAAGAUGCGGUUCGAUUUUGGAAUUCGAAGAAAUGAGAGGUAUUAUGUACUUGCAAACUUUUAUAAAUUUUUCGGUUUAUAGUAUUUACUAUAUACGUAAUAAUAAUUUCAUUAUGUAAGACCGUGAGCGAGUUGGAACAAGCAGCAGGCAAAACAAAAAUUUACGCACACGGUAGGAUCGAGAAGUUUUGCUUGUGUAGCUCAGGCCGCGGUACUAUGGAUUUAUUAAUUCUAUCAAGUAUUAAUAUCUUUUUACUAUUAAAUAAUAUUUACUACUAUAUUGUAGGAAGCCUCGUCUGGUCAAAAAGUUGGACGCCUUCAGCUUUUUGACAUUACACACAGGAAAAAAGAUGGAACUCCGAUGACAUCUGAGGCUGCAGAAACUAUGGUAUAUUUACUUAAUAAAAUUUGAUUCAUUAUAAAUAUUUAUAAUAUUUAAUUAUAAUGUUUUAAUUCGUCGUUUUUAUUAGUUUAACUUAAAUAAUGUUAUGUUGUAUUCCUUUUUAUUGUAUAUUUCGUUUCUAACUCUUUAACUAAUUUAUUAGGAGAAACUAAAAGAUAAGAAGGCAGAGUAUGAAGCGACUGCUUCGACUGAUAGUUCUGUUAAUUUUGAGGAUAUUGAUAACAAAAUUAUUAAUGAAGUUUUGGGUCCUGAAAGGUAUGGUCGGGUUAGAUUUCAAGGAUCUGGUGUUAACCCGACCCAAUAUUUUGGAUCCACCUCGCACCAAUACAUGCCUUCCGGGAGUCAAAGUCAAGCUGAAGUUCAGAGGCUAAAAGAUCAGAUAGUUCAGAUACAAGCUAGCACAGAUGAACAAAUUUCUCAACUUAGAGCGGAGGCAGCAGCGCGGGAGGCAGAGGCAGCAGCGAGGAAGGCAGAGCAGAACAGAAAAUACAAUGAACUCCAGCUACAGCUUCAGUCUAUGAUGACUAUGUUCCAGCAAUUUCAAAAUCCCCCAUCUUAGACAUUUGUUUUCUUGUAACUUUUAACAUUAUUGUAAGAAUAUUUUGAAUAUUCAUUUACAAUUUAUAUAAUAUAUUUUUCGUAUAAUUUUGUAUUAUUUAAAUUUGCGGGUUUUGGUUGGAUUUCAUGGUAUAUUUGCUGUUUUUGGUUGAAUUUCUUGCAGGAGGGUUGGAUAUAGGUGCAAAAAUACAUAUAGCAAAACUGGGUAAAUUAGUGGCGUUUCUUAAAAAAAGCACCGCUAAAAGUACUGCAAAUUAGCGGCAUUUUUUAAAAGCGCCGCUAAAAGUACUGGUCUUUAGCGUCGUUUUUUAAAAAAGAGCCGCGAAAAGUCUUUGUCUUUAGCGGCGCUUUUUUCAAAAAAACGCCGCUAAUUUUACCGGCGUUACAUAUAGCGACGUUUUUUGUGAUUUAAUGUAGGGGAGGGUUGUGAGAGAGUUUUCGGAAAAGCUUUUCUUUGAGGAAGAAGAUCUCCUUUCUUUUUCUGUUUUGGGGAGGGCUAAAGGAAAAAAAAACGCCGCUAAAAGUCUAUUUUCCUGUAGUGACACUUGUGGUAGUGGUUUAUUCAAUUGGAAGGCCAUGAUUAUAGCUACAUAUUCCAACGUGAUUGCCAUUUCAUCGCAGGGGAAAUGGAAGGUAAAAGUCUCUAAUCUCCACCUUUCCACCAAGGUUGUAAGCAACAAAGACCACAUUGAAGUAUGAGGUACAUUAGCAACUUAUAAAAAAUCCACUAUGUUUAAAUGGUCUCUAAGUCAACCAUGCACUUCAUUUACUAUCAGAUAAUGUCUGUUACUCUAAAUCAAGAGAUUUCGUUCCUCGACCUAGUAAGUAAAUGAAAACAAAUAAAAAUAAAUCAAUAUUUUAAAUUCAACAUAAUAAAAAAUUAUACUAAAAUUAAAUAUUAGCAACAAAUAAAUACUUGCUUAACUAACAGGUUAAGAAAAAAUCACCCUAUUAAUGAGUAUUAGAGUAAUAUGAUUCUUUUCAAUUAACAAAGCCGUACUAGGGUUUAAAAUAUUAUUUUUAAAGUAAGAAAAAGAAGGAGGAUUUGGAAGGACUUUUUGCUUAAAGAAGUCCACAAUUAUGAUGGGUAACUUUAGAGGGUAGAGGGUACUUAUAAGCACGAUUAAAUUUUUUUUUUUUUAAAGAACUUGAUGCCUAUGGGCGUUGAGAUUCAUUUUUGAUGGUUAGAUUUAGGCAACUGAUUAAAAUUCAAUUAUAAUUAAACUUAUAAGUAAAAAUUUAAAUAAAUAUAAAGUUGUUAUCUAUAGAUGUCGAGCUCCAUACAAAAACUUUAUUAUGGUUAGGUUUACUGUUGAAAAAGUCAAAUUAAAUGAUUGAUUUAUUAAGGUUAGAUUUAAGAAAACUUUAAAAUAUUAAUUAAAGAAGGACUCUACAACCAUCAAUAUCGAAUUCUUUUUGUAUUUAUUAAAAUUUAACUCUUAACUAUAAAAAUUAAUUUCAUACAAAUUAGUAACUUCACCACUAAGUAAAUUUUUUUUCAAAAGCAGCAUUAAAUAUAAAUACAAUUAUUUGAUUUAUACUGAAAUCAACAUUGGUGGUUGUCAACAUUAAUUAAUUAUUUAUCAACAAAAUUCAACACGUACUUCUUUAAAAUGAAAACAUGGGAAAAUAAUUUUAGAAAAAUGCUAUAUUAAAAUAAAAAGAUGUCACUUUAUCCAUUAUAAAAAUGUAUCAUUUUCUAUACGUUAAAUGAAGAUAUUUAUCUCUAAAGAUUUUGAAUUUAAGAAAAUGAUAAUAUAUCAAUCAUAUACAUGUCUUCUCAAAUUAUGCCUUUAACAAAAAAAAAUAUAUAGGUAAUAUUUUUGUUUCCUUUAUACUACAAGUUUUGGUUUGAAUUGGUAAUUAAAGAGGAAUUAAUAUGCUUAAUUUAAAAUUCAACAAAUUUGGGAUCCGCCAAUGCAAAGCAUAAAUGGAAUAUUAAUUAGAAAAUUGCACUAAAUCUUUGAACCCCAUGUUAUAGCUUGAUGGUUAAAGGUGUUCAUCGCUCUAGUGUCACGGGCUGCAGUUCAAAGCCCGUGACCAUCGCACCAAAUGCACCGAUGGAGGUCUAUUGUGUAGAUGGAGAUCAUUUGGUCCGCAAGAACUGGCUCGAUUUGGUAACCUGUUGGAUAAGCCUGUCAGAUUGAAGUCUGGUUGGCCUGAUAAUGAAGAUAUGACAACUUAGGCUAUUUUGGUAACUAAUCUUAGAAGAUUGAUUUAAUCAUAUUUUGAAAAGAUUAGAUUAGAUUUGAUAUGACAUAUCUUGUAAAUCCUAUAAUUUAAGGGAUAUGAUGAAUCUCGUCCGUCAAUGUAUUGAAAUCUUGACCGUCGGUUUUGGGGGAGUUCAACUAUAAAUGGAAAGCCUCCCCUCAUUUGUACUCACUCCAUUUAUUGUUUCAUUAUUCUUUAUGAAUAAGAGAAUAUUGAGAGCAUUUACUCAAACACAUUGUAUGCAUUCUUUUUUGUGGCUUCUUUUGACAUAAGUUUGCUUCCGCUGUAUAAAUUGGUACCUUGAAGGAGUUCUUAAGGAAUCCUCACUUGAGUAAAGGCUGACUUAGGCGAGUUAGGAUGAACAGAUCACCUAAGGCUGCACGGAUCACGAGACGAAAGAUCUAGCCCUAUAACACUAGCUGUGGAUUGGGUUUGAGUCGCACUAAUCACAUUAGUUGUUUGAGUUUUGCCAUCCAAAAAAAAAAGAGAAAUCUUCUUAAAUAAUAAUUAAAUAACAUAUUGUAAUCGGUGGUUAUAAGGGCAUUCGAUUCAAAGGACAUAAAAUUAUUAUUAUUUAUAAUCACUAGUAUUUUUAUUUAUUUCACGGUCUGAAUCUAAUCUUAUUUGAAUCAGAGUGAUAUUUAUGUAAAGCUUUGUCAACAAUGAUCAUCACUUCAUGAAUUGAAUUUAGUUCAAAUACUAAGAAAAGAAGUCCAUUCUAUUUCUAUCUAUUUGUUGAUAGAUAAUCUUUGAUAUUAAAAUUACUUUUAACAUAUUCAUAUUAUUAAAUUAUCCUUAUUAUAAUUUGUUUUAACAAUUCAACCUAAUUUUAAUAACGUAUUUAUAUUUCUUAUUUAGAGGUUUAAUUCUCUAUGCUCCAUCAUCUUCUUGUAAAAGUUAAUAUAAUAGGUAAUACAACAUCAAACCUUUAACACUGAAAAUAAAACAUAGGGGUACAACCAAAUUACCAAAUCAUAACCCUGCAGCAUCCGACAAACAGUAGGAGAAAAUUGUCCGAAAUAGGUUUUUUACUUUUAAAAUUGCAAGAAAAAAAGAAGAAGAAAAACAAGUAUUUUGUUUUUAAUUAAACUUAUCUUUUAUUUGCAUAAAAAUGAUAUUGAUUUAAAAAAUAAUAAUAACAUUAUCGAAAGUUUCAUAUUUCCCUCGUAAUGUAAAACUACUUAAGAAUAUAUGAUAUAGAGAUUACCUCAUAUAUUUCGGAAUAUUGAUAUUGUUGAGAAUACGAGAUUAUUACAUUAAGGGAAUGUUGAAUCAAACCAUUGCUAAUUAUUUUCAAAACGCUGCAGUGGUCAUUUCGAUUAGCACUGUGAUGAACAAACAAAAAUAAAGUAAACAAUAGACACAAAUGAUUGUUUACGUAGUUCGAUCUUUUUAUAUUUGCAAAGCCUAGUUCAAUGACUAAAUUUAUUAUCUUUUUUACCAGUACAAUAAGUGAAUCACAUCCUAACACUCUCUAGUAUAAAAACCUCACUUUUAUACUUAAAAAUUAGACUAGUCACCUCUAAAUUUCCCCUCUAAGAAAUUAGGUUGUAAACACAAACUGUUUACUCUCGAGUACACUCAGAAAAUACAUUCCUUUAUGAACAAUAAAAUGAUCUUUAUGCUUUGUACAAAAACCUAUACAAAUCUUUUAAUAAAUAGAAGUUUUCAAAACUUGUUAAGAGAUCAGUUAAGAUCUAACCCCUUAACUAUAAAAAAAAAUACAAUAUACUAAUAAAGACUAAUGUAAAGUGAACGGUUGAAGAUUCAUUCUUUAAUGAAUCCUCAAUGCGAUAUUGUUCCGUUCUCCACAAUCCAAAUGAUUCAAUUGCUAGGUCAAAACAAAUGCAAUAUGCAAUCUUUUAGGAAAGUUGUUUUAACUUAAUUGGACUUCAAAAUCAAGUUUGCAUAAAUGGAGAAUAUUAGCAUGCACAAAAAAUUUGUUUUAAUAAAUUAUCAACAUCAAAUAUGAUAAAAUUUGUUUUAAUAAAUUACCAACAUCAAAUAUGAUAAGUAUUAGGUUAUCAUAGAGAUGAUGAAAAUGACCACUUCCAAUUAGCAAUUUACCCAUCAUUUCAAAUACUUACCUCAAUAAAAAAAUUUCAGAAUUUUACAAUAUCACUAUAAAUAUAAUAUUUUUUUUGGAGUACAUUCUUAAGUUGAAUCGAAUCCACAACUUCAAAAUUGUGGCAACAAUAUUGGUAAAAAUGCUGGGGCUGUUGGCACCUAAACAGAUGGAAUAUUAAUACUAUAAAAAAGAACAGCUAAAGUUUGUUGAGAAAUUUAAUACGAUGGGGCUCAAGUCCUCGAGCACACAGAUCUUGCUAGUUGAAACGAUGUCGAAACAGCGUUUUUAAUUGAUAUUAGGUUGCAUGUGCACUGAGGUGGAGUAUAAGAAUAGCCGGUUGUGUCUCCCAAAAUUUUCUAAAUAUCUAACUUAAUAUAUUUAUAAGUAUUUAUAUAUCAAAUUAAAUUAAAUUUAUAUUAUUGGAAUAACUUAAUUCUAUGCGUAUAUGCUAGCGAGAAUAUUAGUAAAAAAAUAGGUGUAAUACUCUUUAGGUUCUUGGUUAUUUUAUCCCUCUAAAGAUUUUUUUUUUAUUUUUAAACUAUUUUUUAGAUUUUUGAAAAUUUUUCUCCCAAUAUUAUUAAAAAUUAAGAGUGAGAUUAUGCCAUUUACGAAAAGGAAUUAUAUAUAAUAAAAAAAGGUUUCCUUUUGCAGGGUUUUUCAUAGUUUUCCAAAAUUAUGAUUUUUUUAAAAAAAUAAUUAUGAUUUAAGAUUUUUAAAAAUUAUAAAUUUUUUAAAAAUUUAUAUAUUUAUAUUAUUUUUAUUGAAAUUUUCAAUAAAUUUAGGAAUUGUUUUGUAAUGUUUUUGAACUUUUGAAGAUUAUAUUGUAUUUUUUUGAAUUUUUAAACAAUAUUUUAAAUUUGAAAUAUUUUUAAAUUUAUAGUUUUUAAAAGGUUUUUUUCGCACUUUAAAAAGUAUAUUCCUAAAAAUUUUUCCAAUUUUAAAAUUGGUAGGAACCUAAAAUAGAUUACACCGUAAAGGAGAUCAUUGCAUGUGCAGGCAAUUAAUUGGACCAUGAAAAUACAUGGAAAGGAGGGUAGCUAAAAGAGAGGGGGGGGGGGAGUUACAUGUAGGGAAUGCAGCUAGUUUGAAAAUGGACGCUUACGUUUUCUGAUGAGGGAAUGAAAAGAAGUGUGAGCAGGGCUGCCUUUUGGUUGUCUUAGCUUUUGCAUGUUGGUUAGACAGUAAUGAGUGAUGAAGAAGAGGGUGGGAAGUAAUGAAAACAGGGUAAACAAUUAAUGAGUACCCAUUGCCACAGGGACCACGGUCUGGGAGGCUAAACCAGCUUUUGCUCGCAGGAAGGGGUAGGUCAGCUUUUGACUUCCGGUGAAUCUUAGCUUGCGUGUAGGGGUAACCCAACUCGAAAUAACAUUAAUCGAAUUAAUUGACCUUUCAAAAUUUUUAACUCUUAACCGAAUCAAAAUUAUUUCAAAAAAAUUAACCGAACCGUAAAUUUUUCGGUUAAUUCUGUCGGCUAACCGAAUUAACUGAAAAUUAUAUGUUUUUUAAUUUCUGGUUAAAAUAAGCAUAAAAUUAACCGAAUUAAUCGAAUUAACCGAAUUAUCCGAAUUAUCCAAAUUAAUCUAGUUAACCGAAUUAUUUGUAUAAAAUUAUAUGUUUUUUAUUUUUAUUUUUAGUUUUAGAUUUUUAUUUUUAUUUAUUAAAUUAUUUGUAAUUUUUAUGAUUGGGUUGGGUAAUUGAGUUGGGUUGGGUACUUGGGUUAAUAUAUAUUAGAUUGGGUAUUUGGGUUUAUGUUGUAUUGGGUUUGAGUGAAUAGUAGGCUAUUUAUAUAUUAUAAUUUUAUUUAUUAAUUUUUUUCGGUUAACCGACCGGUUUUGAACCGAAUUAACCGUUAACCGAAAACUCAAAAAAUUAUUAACCGACCCCUGACCUAAUUAAUUCGGUUAACUGACCGAUUAACCGAAUUCGGUCGGUUAACCGAAUUUUUUCGGUUUUACUCGAAUUUUGCACACCCUUACUUGCGUGUACAUUAUAUGCCACUUGCAAAAAAGAGAGGUCACAUUAAAACAAAAAAAAACUAUUUCUUUAAAAAAAUGAAUUUAUCACUUAAUUUCUAUUCACCAUAUUUGGCUCUGUUACAUAGAAAUAGUUUAAGGGUAUACAAAUUUCUUGAAAUUUUUUUAUUCAAAAAAUAAAUUUUGCUUAUAACAAUUAGGUUGCACAUAGUGUUGGGGUUGACAACGAUGGUGGAUCAUAUCAUAGAUGGUGCAGAGAGUCAUUAGGGUAGUGGUGGUUCACACCGUUGAUAGUGCGAAAACCACUAAGGAUGGCGGUUUUUCUAAGUCGGGAGAAUGUUUGAGCAACAUAUAGGCUAUAUAAAUGAUCUUUUUUGUUCACUUGUUAUUGGCGUUGGUGUUGGAAUGGGGUAUUUAUAGGGGAGGUCAAUUUGGCGUGGGUCUCAACCGUCAAGCACUCUAUUUCAUAGGUGCAAAGGAUAAAGUGGAGGAAGUCCACUUAAUGACACAAAUGGAGUUGAUGUGAGAGGAUUAUGAGAGAUAAUCGAAUAAGCAUCGUCAGGCCUAAAGAGUGUUAGACUGACAAAUGAUAGUAGAGACUCUUCGCCAUAUAUCUUUUGGGGAUUGUGUGGGUUCCCUUUAUAUAAUGUGGUACUUUGAAGUGAGGUUGAUGAGAUAGGAACUAUUCUCCUGAAAAGGCUAUAAAGUUAAGCUUCGCCAUGUUUUUCAUUUGAGUAUGGUUGUCGGGUGGUUUGGUGAUGGAUGCUAUAACGAGGGUAUAACAAUUUCCUUUUAGACAAAAAGGUAGGUUAUAAAGUGACUUAGUUGAGUUAAAUCCUUAGUGGCGCUCUUAGGAGUCUUGUUGAAGCUUGAAGCCAGUUUAGAAUAUCAUAAUUACUGCUAUUGCUAUGAUCAUUGCACCUUUGUAUUAAUUUCUUCUUGGGCAUCUCUUUACCUUUUAUUGAGUUUUUUUCCCCAAAUUUGUUGUUUCUUUAUUACCACCGUUUUGCUUGGAGUGAAACUUCAAUUUCCCACCCUACUACUUAUAAUUAGGAUUCUUUUGUGGCUUCAAAAUCAUAUCUUCUUCUUUGCUUUUGAUUCUCUUUCACUAGUUUACAUCAAAAAAUUACUUCUUCUAAUCUUUUUAUCUUUUCAUUGUUUUUCAUUUCCCUUCUUUUUGUCUUUUCAUUUUUUUUUUUAUUUUUCCUUUUAAAAUGGACGAUGAUCCUUCAAGGUUUUAAACAAAUGACAAUUCAGCAGAAGGCGAAGAGCGAUUAUGCACCACCACUAUAACAGAGACGAUGUUGUUGUUGAAUGUGUCAAGCUGCAUUUUUAUAACAUUUCUUAGUUUGUCAAGAUCACAUUAGAUGAGUGAAGUUAUGACUAAUAGGAGGGGCUUCUAUCUCCCAUUGCAAUUAUUUGAAACGGGUUUUCAUUAGCCUUUUUAUCCUUGGUUCGUAAAGAUACUUCAACUGUACAAUAUUGCACAUGGACAACUAUUAGGGACUUCUUGGUAUUUGCUUGUAUUGUACUUUUUAGAAUAUAAAAAGCUUUGAGAAGAACUUUCUUCAAUCAAUUUUAGGAACCUACUUAUCCUUACUUUUGAAGGUUUGCAUGCAAAGGUCAUUUCUAGCCACUAAAUAAUCUUAACCCCAAGGUGAACUAAUUCACCAAAAGUUUUACUUUUUAACCUUAUAAGUAUAGUUUGAUAAAUAAUAAGCUAAGGGACUUCUCUUUUCCCCCUUUAGUGGACCAUUACUUUAUCUACAAGACUUUCGAAAAUUUGUUUGACAAACUUUCUGCUAGGAAUUAAUACUGUAGCCUAUGAAUAGCGAAAGUGAAGUUUGGCAAGGUAUAUGGUCUAUAAGUAAAUUUUAGAGGUUUUGUUUUAAUAAGCGUAGCCUUAUUUGUGCGACUCCAAAAGAGGCGGCUAAGUUUUUCUAUAUGCCAAAUGUUAGCACUUGGCCCAUGUCACAUAUUUUUUGGACAUGGUCUAAAGUGAGACUUGAGUCCUAAACUCGAACAUUAGAAACAUAUGAAACACCUUUAAAAUCCAAUAGAGAUCUUGUUACAUACAUUAGGAAGAAAAGAAGCUAAAAGGAGAUUAAGGAACCAAUACCAAUUCAAUAGAAUCAAGAGUCUGAACGAAGUUCAAAUUCUGAAAAACUCUCACCAGAUAACACACUCUAAUUCUAAUGAGUUUCUUAGUGAUUUGGAUGGUCCUUUUUUUUUUUUGAAAGAAAACGACCCAAGAGUCAAACUCAAUUUAUUGUAUCUUUUAACACUAAAUCAUGGAUGUUCGGUGGAUAAUCCAUGUUAAAGUUCAUAGUACAAAUAUUAUCCUUAGCCAAAUUACAAAGCUUAUCCGCAAUUUUGUUACAAUAUCUCGAGGCUCAAUUAAAAUUAAAACAAUUAAACGAUUCCAGCUGCAUGUGGAUCUCACGCAUGCGAUAGCCCAACGUAGUUAAAUUUGAAUCCCUUUUUUUAUAUCGGUUAACAAGGCUGACACAAUCGGUCUCCAUGUCCACUUUAUUCCACUGUUUUGACCGGGCAAAGUUGAUGCUUUCUUCCAAUGCCAUCAUUUCCACUUAUUCAAUUUGUACCUCCUUAUCCAUCACGCCUAUUUGCCCACCAAAAACAAAACCAUCAGAGUCCCUGGCCAUCAGCCCGAAACACAUUCUUUUACCAUCAACAGAGGCAUCGAAGUUGAUCUUGACCCAUCCCUGUGCAGGUUUGCUCUAGGCUUUAUCCUCAGAUUUCCGCGGCAGCAAAGGGUCUUCAAGCAGGUUAAAAAUUCAAAAAUCUUGGCUUAAGGCCGCCGCUCUCUCCCAGGUAACCUUGCGUCUUCUUCUUCACCCUUAAAGAUGCCAUUAUUUCUACUGUUCCAAACAUUCCAAAGGACCGUAAUAAUAUCAGCAACCGCCUUUUUAUCCAACUCCCUGAAAACAUCUUCAAUCCAGUCAAUACAUUGAGCAUAAUCCCUACCAAGAAAAUUGUUACUAAGGCCACCAUACGUAAGCACCACACGGGCCAUCAGGCAGUCCUUCAUAGCAUGGAUCAAAGUUUCCUUCUCUUUCCCACAUCUCGGACAGGUGCUAUUGAAGCCACUAUGAAUGCUAGAAAUUCUUUCAUACGUAGGUAGGAUAUUAUGGCCCAGCUCCACCAAAAAAUACGGAUUUUUGGCAAGGUUUUUAAUUUACAAACUAUUCUCCAAAAGAUCCUAUGAGGGUCGUAACCAAUCUGUUUAAGAAUCAACCACAAAUAGGCUGAUUUAGAAGAAAAAAUGCCAUGCAGGUUAUGAAACCAAACAGGUUGGUUGUCAAGGCCAUUAUGAAGAAUGAAGAUAUUGCAAAUUUGAUCUCUCAGACUUUCACCAUAGAGUUUGAGAACCCUUUUUUCGUUCUAACCUUCCUUGUUACCAUUAAGCAGCUCACACAUGUUGUUCUCCUUAACCAUCAUUUUGUUUAGGCAAAUAGAGUUACCUGACAGGCCUUCAAACCCCCAGUUAUCAUGCCACACCUUAAUUCUUUUGCCAUUGCCCACGUUCCAACCAAAACCUUCUUAGAGGAUACUCGCAACCUUGGUUAUGCUUUGCCACGUAAAGGAAGGCUUGUCCAUGCUUUUUGGGUGAAAUGCGUCACUAUCAAGAAAGUAUUUCACACUUAACACUCAUAGCAUAACGUGCCCCUGUUGUUAAUGAGGCACCACACUUGUCGACCCAAGAGAGCCACAUUAAACAGCCGAAGAUCCCUGAAUCCAAGGUCACCCAUGCAUUUGGGAUAACACAACCGCUCCCAAGCCAACAUAUUCCAUCCCCUUUUCUUCUCCCCUCCCUCCAACCAAACUCGACUCAUCAUUGAUUGGAUCUUAUCAGUCACUUCUUUAGGAGCCAAGAAAAUCAAAAAGGCAUAUGUAGGGAUAGCUUGAAUGAUGGACUUCACAAAGAUUUCCUUGAUUCCAUAGGAUAAUAACCGCUUUGACCAACUAUUGAUUUUGUAAGCCGUACGGUUCAAGAUAUCCUGAAAAACACUAGAUUUAUUUUUCCCAACCAGAAUAGGUAAACCAAGGUAGCCAUCGAGCUUAUCAACCACCUUCAUUUUGAGUAAGCCACCCAACGUCAUGCGCUGAUACAUAGGGGUCUUGGGGCUAAAAUUCACCAUCGACUUAUUCAGGUUGAUACUCUGGCCCGACAUCUUUUCAAAUUUGUCUAAUAUCUACAAAAAUGCUUCCACCUCACUCCGUUGGUUCCUGACAAAUAAAAGAGCAUCAUCAGCGAAAAAAAAGGUGAUUUGUUUUAGGGCCCUCCUUACUUGCCCGUAUACCCUUAAUUUUAUUAGUUUCUUAGGCAUUAACAAGCAUGCGAGAAGACAUCCAUACACAAAAGGAACAAAUAACGGGAUAAGGGGUCCCCUUGUCGGAGACCCCUUUCUGAAAAUAAUAGUGUUAGUAAAGCUAGUGUUGCACUUAAUUUUAUAACGGACGCUACAAACACAAUUCAUGAUUUUUUUGACCCAGUCGCUAGUGAAGCCCAUUUUAAUCAUCACUGUUUCAAGGAAACUCUACUCCACUCGAUCAUAUGUUUUUCUUACAUCGAGCUUGACUACACAACCCUUAUUGGGGCCUUUUUAGAGCUACGAAGAUAAUACAUGAGCUCGUGAGCAAUAAGGACGUUGUCGUAGAUCAUCCGGCUGGAGACGAAGGCGCUCUGAUUUUGGCUUAUACAAUAAAUGAGAACUUCUUUGAGCCAAUUUGCCAAGACCUUGGAAAUGGUUUUAUAUAUAACCCUGCACAAGCUUAUUGGGCGAAAGUUAGUCAUCUCACAAGGAUUUUUAAUCUUAGGAAUCAAAACAAUAAGCGUUUCAUUAACACACUUAACAUUUUUAGAGCCUUUUAAAAUAUCAUGACAUAUCCUUAAUACGUCCCUUCCCACAAUCGACCAAUGCUCAUUAUAGAAGCACCCAGGAAACCCAUCAAUUCCCGGGGCUUUUCAAGGGUAGCAACGAUCUCAUCAUCAGUGAAUUAUUUGUCAAGAGUAUUGUUCAUGCUAUCGGUAAUGGACUCCGGAACAACCUGUAAAUCAAUCUCCUCAUCCGGAUCAAUAGAAGUCUUGAAGAGAUCAUGAAAAUAGCUCCAAACAAUAUUACAAAUAUCAUUCUUGUCUUCGUACCACACCCCUUGCGAGUCCUUGAGUUUUUUAAUACUAUUCUUCUUCUUACGACCCGUAACCUCACGUGGAAAUAACGGGUGUUUCUAUCUCCUUCUCUAAGCCACUAAUUAUGGGCCCUCUGAGCCCAGUACCUCUCCUGAACAUCAUACAGAUGACCCAACUUCCCGCGCGCUGACUUAAGAAGGUUCGUAGACCUCUCGCUGUUAAGACUGUCUAUAAGAUUGCCAAUCUUUUUUUUAGCCCGUUUAUCUUAUUUUUCAAUCUUUUAUACUUUUGACGUUGUCACGGGCCCAGCUUCUCCCUAACUUUCUCCAUCUUAUCCAAAGUAUCACUCUCCUCGUUCGACCAUAUGCGAGUAAUAAUCUCUUUAGCCUCAUGCUCCUUAGCUCAACAAACAUCAUAUUUGAAAUAAGAUCUGUGGUCACCUCAAUUCUCUCCCAUCUUGCUACCCGUCAUAUUCAAAAUGAUUACCUCAUAGUCAGAUUUCAAUUGGCGAAUGACCAUAGUAGCAAGAAACGGCCACUUUUCAAUCAUAUCCUCCAAGAUAAGGAACCUAUCCAAUCUCUCAUUAACAAGAUCGGGGCCCUUUCUACUGUUUGUCUAUGUAAACCACCCAUUACCAGUUUUAACAUCCACCAAAUCCAAUUCAUCCAGGAUAUCGCAAAACUCGUCCAUGGAGCAUCUCGGCUUCUUUCGCCCACCUUCAUUCUCAACAUUAUUAAAAAUCGCAUUAAAAUCGCCCCCCACAAUCCAUCCUUCCUUAACCGUUCUUUUUACCCUCCUAAGCAUAUCCCAAGACUCUUUUCUAAGGUUUAGAUUUGCUUGACCGUAGAACCCAGUGAACCGAAGCUCAUUUCCAUUGUCCAAGCUGACUAAAGAGUCAAUAUGGUAUUUGGAGUAAUUUUGCAAUGUGAUUUUCACUCUUUCCUUCAACAUCAAAGCUAGUCCACUACUCUUCCCCUCCGAAUUAACAGCCAUGCACCCUUCCAUUCUGCAUAUUGAACGAAUAUGAGAGAAACUGUUAGAAUGAGUUUUGGUUUCGCAAAGAAAAACUAUAUUACUUCAACUCUCGAACUGUCGCAGGGUUCCCCACCCCAUGGCAAUUCCAACAAAAGACAUUUAUUGUUCUUGGCGGAGUUUAACGCCAACCGCCACCUAACUAGGAGAAACGUUAUCCAACCGUCCUCUCUUAGCGAAUAUAGCAGGGCUCUCUCCAAGCUAUCACCAAUCAUUCCCUGUUGUCACUAACUCUUUCUUUUGAAACUGUACCCUUCUGCACACAUGGGCUUAUGAUUCUUUCUUCCAUCGUCCUAGAGUAAGCCAACAUCAGCAGCAUCAAUAAGCAGGGAAAAGACAAAGUGUAGAAAAACAUCUCAGAAUCUAGCAAUCACAAAAAUCACAAGAGAGAAAAAAAUGAAAAGAAAAAAAAAGUAAAAAGAGAUAAAAGCAUAAACGAAAAGAAAACGAACAAAAAAACCAAAGCUAAAGAAACUUAAAAGUAACCAAAAGCAGAAAAGGAAUCAGGAAAGGUCAACACAGAGAGAAAAAACCCAUUGAUCAAUCGCCAAAAAACAUGGAACCCUCACUAUCCACAAGAAAGGAGGGAUGUAGCAAGCCAUCCACCCAAAGAGCAGACCUAAGAAAACACAUUUAUCGGCGGAAGCAAGACAUAAUAGAUAAAAGAAUAAUAAAAAACCAAGAACAAACCACCACGCAUACGAAGAAACUGAUAAAUAGAAACCAAAGGAUAUUUCUACAAACCCCAAAAUCAUGCAGAACCACGUAAGAGAGUCAAACAGAACAUGCAUGAAGGCACCAAAGAAAAUAAAGAAAUAUAAAAAAGACCCCAAAAUCAUGUAAAAACACGUAGAAAUGUCAAACGGAAAUUUAUUUUCUGACUGCCAUAGGUUCCAAUGAGCGAGACACCGAAAAACCCCAAGAAAACCAUACAGAAACGUCUCACGUGGGAUAUAGAACAAUCAAAAGAAAUAAAACUUUUCUGACCACCAUAGAUUCCUCAGUCAUUUACAACGCAAAAACUCGGAUAAACAUAAAAAAAUAAAAUAAAAAACCAACAGAAACAGAGUCACACAAAUCACCAAGAAAAUUAAAGGAAACGAGAAUAGAACAAAAUUCACCAUAGGACCAAAAUAAAAAGCCCUACAAGAAACAUCUUGUUCGUCAAAAUCUACGCCAGACCAUAUCGCAUCAGAACAGUAACGUCAUACAUCCACCGAAAGAAACCAAAAAGACAAAAAAAAAAUAAGCAUCACAACCAAAGUAACACACUCAGAAUCCUUCAAACUGCCAUAAUAUUUACGAGAAUAAAGCAGACACACAAACGAAAAAAAAUAAGAAAACAAUUCACCCAAAUCUUGGAGAAAAACACGCUACUGCUUACUACCAGGCAAUGCUAUGUGGAUGGUCUUAUUGCAAUUAGAAAGUAGGUAAAUACAUGUGCCCAACACUCAAUCUCCAAAUUUGUCUCAUAUGAAGUAUUGUCUUCUAGAUUUCAAGCAUUGGUGACUAAUCUUGAUGGGAUUACAAUUCCAAAAAAAAAGUCUUAAAGGGGCUAGAAUGGAGAAAAGUUAUGAAUGAAGAAAUUUCAACCUUAGAAAGGAAUAAAACCUAAAAAAAAAUAUUUUUGAUAGGCGUCAAAACCACCAAAAAUAAUUCCUACAAAAUAACUCUAAAUAGUAGUAAAGAGUAGUAGCAGGGUCGAGUCCACAGGGAUUGGUAUUAUAAUUAACUUUCGCGUUUAACUUGUGAUCAAAAUUUCUGUCGUGUCAAUAAUUGUGGCAAUAGUCGUGCCCACGACUCCAAACGGAUCUGCUGAAAAAUAAAUAAAUAAAUUAGGGGAAUUUUGAAAUGUUUAGAAAUUAAAUAAUUGAAACAACAUAAAUAAACAAUUAAAUAAAUUGGAAAUAAAUUAAAUUGGGAAAUAAAUUCGAAUUUUGUAAACAAAGAUAAUAAGCCUUAGCCCUAGACUCGGUGGAUUUCGAAUUUAUAACCGAUCCUCGAAAAUUAAUUUUCUCCCCCAAACAAUAAGCUGGUUAUAGCAGUUAAGAACAUCCUAACAGCUAAUUCUUCCUCUCGUAGUUGGUCCAGGUAUGACCUUCAAACCAACUCUUACCGAUUAUCUAACUGAGAUACACGUAUUCCCGAUUCAAGAUUCCGGCAGCCUUGCGCUCUAAAGAACCCAACUCGGAUUAACGGCCUCAAUCCCGUGGGUUGUUUAAACACGAUCACUAUUUCCUUGAUUUGUUCUCGAAGAUCCCAAUACAGUACAGCCGACUUGUUUCCCCAACUGUCCGCAAACACGACUCUAACCUAACACUCUUUUUAAUUUGAAAUCGAAUUAACUUUAAGGGAAGAGUUGUCAAUCCCGAUACUUAGGAAAGAUAGUGAAUACCAAAUGGAAUGAUUUUAGUACGGAUACAUAUCUCACGAUUCUUGACCGAAAAAAAUACCGACCUAAAACUAAGUUAGUAUUUAGUGAAGCAUGAACUUAAUCAUGCUUUGGUUGGCUAUUGAAUGAAUUUGAAUGAAAAUGACGGAAAUUGGGAAGGGAAGGUACUUGGAAAGCAAUUAAACAAUUUUUGUAAAAAUAAGAAAAUGAAAAUGGAGUAGCAAUAGCUACUGACGCAUGAAUUUAGAAGAAAAAGAAUAAUUCUUAUUUAAUUCCAAGUGAAAUCAAGUGAAUCAAGUGUCAAGUGUGUCUCCUAAGCUACCUUAAAGCUCUAUUUAUAUACAUAUGACUUACUAAAUUUGACUUAACCACCCAAUACAUAAUUAAAAUUAAAUAAAAAUAAAAUCAGAUUUUUUCUAAUUUUGACUUUUACAAAGUCAAAAGAAAUUUGAUGAGCCAUUAACUAUUUCCACGUUUCUUUAUUCAGCCCUCACUUUAUUGACUAUGCUGCAAAUUGGUCAUUUUCUGCUCAUUUUUAUCCUAACUGCAUCCCUGACAAGAUUAAAACAAAAAAUUACUAAUUUAGCAGGGACCAAUUUAAGAAUUGAUUGAAUUAAACACAAAAAAUAUGCAAAUUUGACAUGUUAUCAAUUUUUCACCAAACAAAAAUCCAAUAGGAUGCAAAUAGGCUUUUAUAGUAAAACAUAAUCAAGAUAGAAGUGUGGACAAAUUCAAGGUUAGAAUCAUUGCAAAAGGAUUCCACUAUUCUUAUGGAAUUGACUAUAAAGAGACAUUUGCUCUUGUUUCAAAACUCAAUACAAUUAGUACCCUCCUCUCUUUGGAAACAAACCUUAAUUGGCCCUUACAUCAACUUGAUGUUAAUGAUGCUUUUUUGAAUGGAGAUCUUGUGAAUGAGUGUACAUAAACAUUCCACAAUGCUUUGAAGCACAUACCACCAAGAAUAAAUCAUGCAAACUGAAAAGAUCAUAAUAUGGGCUUAAGAAAUCUCCUCAAGCUUAGUUUGAUAGAUUUUUCCAAAUUGUGAAGAAUAAUUAUCCUUUCAAAGUCAAGCAUAUCAUACUUUAUUCAUCAAACAUACACAAAAAGGAAAAAUAUUCAUUCUUAUUGUGUGUAAAUGAUAUAAGCUUAACAAGUAAUGAU